This 70336-nucleotide long non-coding RNA is filed under the name Medicago truncatula (barrel medic). RNAcentral's name for it is "long non-coding RNA (MTRU_LNC005924)". The stretch from base 43575 to 43740 matches the Rfam family "MIR2619 microRNA precursor family". The record is from RNAcentral. Lineage: Eukaryota; Viridiplantae; Streptophyta; Magnoliopsida; Fabales; Fabaceae.
UACCUUUGAGUUUGGUUGGAUAUUGCUUUUCCUCUAGUUAAUAAUACUAGUUUGGUUCCUCUAGUUAACAUCUGUACCAAAAAAAAAAAUAUUUGUUUAACAUUUAAAUUAUUUUAAAAUAAAUUAAUAUAAAAAUAUUACAUGACAUUGAUUGAUUGGAUGAUGAGUAUAUAUCUAUUAAAAAUUGUAUAGGUGAUAGAGUGUUGAGUAGUUGAGAAUUAAUGAAGUAACGAUAUCAUAAGUAUAAAAGGCAAAAGGAUAAAAAUUGCGAGUAAAAUAAUAGUUUGGUUUAUUGUGUGUCAAUCAAAAUUUACACGUGAACUUAUAGAUAAGGUGACAUAACAUGUAAUUCUAUGUCAUGUUAAAAUUGAGAUUUUGCUUUAGAUCGAAAGAGAUCAGCAAAAUCGACAAUCGUUAAAUCGCAAUUAAAAUUGAUGGAUUUUAUCAAAAAUAUAAUAUUAAAUAUAUUUUAUAAAUGGUAUAUAGUGAUAAAUGACUUAGAUUAUAAUAAAUUGUAAGACCGCAAUCAAAAUCGUUGAAUUUUUCUUAUUUUAGAAUUAUACUAUGGGUUUGAGUCGUUAAAGAUGAAAAAAGUCACAAAAUCUUAAAUUUUAAGAUUUAAGUCGGUAUUUUAACAAGUCUUAACAUCAUGGCUUGCAAAUUCAACAUUGAUUGUUGUUAGAGUAAAUUACACUCCCCUCCCCUCAAAGAUGCUUGAAUUACAUUCCCCUCCCCUCUUAAGUUAAAAUAUACAAUCCCCUCCCCUCUUAUUCAAAACAUAUUAGAGAAAAUUUCACUCCCCUCCCCUAAGAGAAGCUUGAAUUACAUCCCCCUCCCCUCUUAUGUUAAAAUCUACACUUUACCCCCUCAAUAUUCUUUUUUAUUAUUUCUAAUAAUCUAGCAAAAAAUAAUAAUUUAACACACUUAAAAAAAUAGUAUUGCGAGUCUGUUUUAAUAUAAUAAAAAGUUGAAUACAUAUUUUUCGCUAUUUUUUAUUCACAAUUUCAUUAACAUGUAGUUUUAAACCCUAUUAUAAAAUAUUAAACAACCCAAAACAAAAUUAAAAUAUGUGAAAAAUUACUAAAAUCAUUAAGGCAUGAUUAUUUAGAAGUUAAUUUUAUACUCAGAUUUAUAAAAUCAAUAGCAAUAUAUUUAAAUUUAAUUAUCAUUGACAUUUAAACUAUAAAGAAAUGAAUUAAUUUUUCUUAAAUGGUGAUUCAAAAUUAAUAUAUAUUAUAAGAAUAUUUAAUUAUGUUCAAAUAGAUUAAAGUGUAGUGCAUAUUUAAUUAUUAAGGGAAUGGUUUGUAAUUCAAGCAUCUUAUAAGGGAGGGGAGUAUAAAUUUUAACAUUAGAAAAAAAUAUUGAGGGAGUAAAAUGUAUAUUUUAACUUAAGAGGGGAGGGGAGUGUAAUUCAAGCAUCUUUGAGGGGAGGGGAGUGUAAUUUUUUAUUGUUUUGUAUUGAUCCACAUGUUUAUUUAGAUGUAUCAUUUUUCCUAACAAAUCCAAAUGUUUAUAUUCAAGAUCAAAGCUAAUGUAUUAAAAACAAAAAAUAUCAAUUAUUGCUGGUCCUACCACGGUUUAAUGUCAAUAACUUAGUUUAGAAAUCACACUUGAAACCCAUUCAAUGUUAUCCACCACUAUAGUCCUUGUAUGAAAAUGCAUUUUCACAUCUACAUUUUCCCAUGGUAUGAAUGGGGAGACUUGGAGAUCAUCAUCAAGCAUUGACUCAAACACAAGGCUUGCACUGUUGGAGAAAAAUGCUAUUAUUAUCCUAAAUUAUUGUUAGUAAUUAUUCAUAUUACGCAGAUUGAUAUCCAAUCCCUCAACUUCAUUCACACACACACACAUAUAUAUAUAUAUGCACCAUGAAGUACACACCUCUCUAAGUGUGUCACGGUGUCCGACACCAGUGCCGGAGCCAGAAAAAAAUGUUUGGGUGGGCCGCUAAAAUAAACUAUAAACAAUAAUAUGUAAACAUAAAAUUAAAGUACUAAUAAGCAUUAAGCUUGAAGUUGAAAUUGCAAAGUUUGACUAAAAAGCUCGGGUGAAUGCUUUAAAAAAACAAAUUACAUAUUACUAAUGCUAUAAAUUAUGAUUUUUUUAUUUAUUUUAUAAUACAACUCUUAAUUGGAGGAAUUUUUUACAAAACAAUAUAAAAGAGAUUUGAAACCACCAAAAAUUAAAAGGUCUGUAAACCUCCGUUAACUAGCCAAGUAUAAGCAUAAAAAAAAAAAUCACAUAUGUCACUUUUGGAACCACCGAAAAUCUAAACGGUUGAAAAAUUGUUUAAAAUCUCGCAAAGCUGACUUAUGAUCGUCGAUUUUUUACUUUUUCCGGGUGGGCUGUGGCCUACCCCGGCCCUUAAAGGGCUCCGCCUCUAUCCGACACACGUCGAUAUUUGACAUUCAUAUGACACUCAUAUACAACACAUGUUGAACCAACUCAGUCUAGUGUCCCAAAAAUUAAUCAUUAUUUUAUUUUCUUCGACACACCUUGAACAUAUUUCUAAGGGUAUCUACAAGAUUAAAGAUGUGUGAAAUCAAUAUUGAUCAAUGAGGUGGUUAAAGAAAUUAAUAUUUUUAACAAAAUUUUAAUAUUUUUUGUUAAAGAAAUACAUUGCUCAAUUUACAUGUAUAUAUUUUGAUUCUCGCUUUAGCUAUUUUAUAAAUAAUACUAAUAUAUGAUUUGAUUAUAAGAAAUUAAUAAAUAUAUAUGUUGCGAUGCCAAAGUCUUAUGUUUUUUAAUUUUUACAUUGACGAUAUUAAUAUAUCCGUGUCAAUGUCAUGUGUCAAGUGUUCAUGUCGGAAUACAUGUCAUAAAGAGUGUGUGUAUAUAUAAUUCAAGAUCUUUAUUCAUAUAAGAUUUGCCGCGUUGUAGUUUUAGUUACUUCUUAGUUAAGUUUACUUGUUUGACUCAUAAGUUUAUUAUUAGUUGUUGAGGUAUGAAUUAUAUGUUAGUAUAUCAACUGUGAGUAAGAGUUCCAUAUUAAAAAGUGUAUGAUGAACGUAUUAUAAUUGAGAUGAUCUCUAAUUUUAAUGUCUUCAAAUUUUGGGUUAAAGUAUGUUGUCAACCACACAUGUAUCGAAAAUUUGCACUCCAAUUCUAUGAUAAAUGCUCAUCUUUCAUAAUCGACCAAUAUUCAUUCAUGUUAACUGUAUAUGUCAUCAUUCACAUUAUAAAUUUUCACUCAACUACUCCUUAGCUUGCCAGCGAACAUCUCUUCCAUGUCAGAAACCCAUCAAUAGCAGUUACACACCUAUAGAUAAGAUCCAUUAACCAAUAUCCAUGACAUUCAUACAUACUUAGUAAUUAAGAUUUAAGACCAUUGCAUUAUAGCAAUAGACAUAAGUCAGCAAUUCAAAUAAAGGUUAUAACCACAUUAUUGUACGUAAGUAACAUAACUAAGUGCAUGCUUGAUAUGCAGUGAAAUUGAAAGCAGACAAGAAAAUGCAGCAAUGAUAGGUUGACACUCUUAGGGUGUGUUUGGUUGUGGAGAGAGAGAAAGUGAUAAGAGAGAAGUAGGUGAGAGAGUUUGAGAAGAGAGAAAGAUGUGAGAAAUAAAGAUAGUGUUUGGUAUAAAAGAAAGAGAUAAGAAAUUGAGAAGAGAGAAGUGUUGAUUAUUUUUAAAAGUACAAAAAUACCCCUUAAAAUAAAAAUCUUUUCCUAAAACUACUCUAUUUUAUAUUUAAUUAAAUUUAUGAAUUGAUUAGUUUAAUUAGUUAUCUGGGUUAUUUUACUAAUAAUAAUAACAAGGUAAGUUAAUUAAUUUAAUUAUUAUUUAAAUAAGCCUAUUGUGAAAAAGAAAGAAAGAAUCACGUGACAACAUUGCAUAAAAGACAAAAAAAAUGUGUUGUUCUCUUAAAUUAAAGGGCAUAAAAGACAAAAUUAAAGCAACAAAAGAGUAACUUCUCUUCCGUUUCUUCGCUAAUUAGGGGAGAACAAAAAAUGCAUGGGACCCACCAAUUUUGUCCCUCUUCUCUCUUUCUCACCUUUGUCAAACUAGAGAAAUGCCACACUUCUCUCCUCUUUCUCUCCUUAGUCUCUCUCUUCUACAUUUCUCCACUACUAAAGAGAGUUUUAAUGUAUACACUCUUUUGCAUUACUUUAAAAAAAUUAAAGUUAACCAAAUAUAUAGUUUAUGUGACCACGUUUUUUUAGUUACGUGGCCACUAUUUUUAUGACAUACAUGCUCAUAAUAUAUUACUCAUGUUUAAUUAAACUAAAUAGAUCUUUUUUGGGACUAAAUAGAUCUUAUAUCUUAUAUCAUAAGCAAACACUUGGAUUUUUCCACUGUAGGGCCCACAUGGUACUUAAGCAAUUGCCAAGUCAAAAUAUAUAUGUUUACUUAAACUAAAUAAAUCUUAUCUCUUACCACUAUCGGGCCCACAUGGUACUUAACGCAAUUGCCAAGUCUUUGAUGCAUCCCCUCAAAAACAAUCUUGAUGCAUUAAAUGGAUGCUUGUAUUUUUUCCUUUUAUAGAAAAACAAAGUCUUAAAUUAAUUGGCACCACGCAGAAAGUUUGGAAAGCUCUUGACACACAAUCAUUUUGGGUUCUUGACGUUUGGUAGAAUAGGAGUGCAUGACAUAGCAACUGUGAAAUCAUUGGUAUAACUUUUAGGUGGCCAGAUAAUAUAAAAAACUAAACUUGAUCAUAAGCAAACACUUUCACAAUAAUUUUUACUUCCAUAAAAAAAGGUUUGAACAGCCUUUGAAUCAAUGACUUCUAAGAUGUAAAUCGAUGCCUAUUAUUCGUUGAACUUUGAAGGAACCAACGGGUAGCACUUGGAUGACAUAGAGUUGGGUGACAUUGACCAAUCACAAUGUCAUAAUGCUUGUGUUUCUCUCUCUUUCACAAGUAUUGUGACAUUAUAAUUGACUAAUGUCACUAAUGUCAUCCAACUCUAUAUCACCCAAAUACUAUCCUGAAACCAACCUUGUGAGUGAAGCUGAGUGAAAAAAAUAUUAAACUUUAUGAUAAGCAAACACACGUUCAAAAUAUAUUUUUUACCUCUCCUUCCAAUUUAUUUACUUUUUUUUACUUUAUCAUAUGGAGCUUUUGUUAAGUACAAGGUGGGUCCUAUAUAUUAUUCGAGUGAUGGGAGUGGUGUAAAAUUGGUCUUCUAUCAACUAGAUCACUCCCAUACAAACUGACGAAAAUAUCUCUAACGUAACUUAAAUCAAUCUGAAAGGGAGCGUGAGUUAACUCACACUGGGCUUGCGUUCAGGACCAGAACAUCAUAAACAUCUUUUUCAAUAAUUUUCUUCAUUCCUUCAUUCAUACAUACAUCCAUUUCUGUCAAAAAUACAUGUUUUCAUCAUUCAUUUAAUGAUUCAUUCAUUCACUCAUAAUUUAAAUAAAAAAAAUAAACGAAAAUUAACAAAAAUGUCAUAAAAAAACGCAAACGCGCAAAUGUAAAUAUAUAUUGCAUCCAUAUCUACCAAAGUGUAAAAAAUACAUCUAAAUAUACACAAAUGUUAGGAAAACACUAUAUAUAAAAAAAAAAUCUACUCCUAUGGACUAUGGCUCCUAGUCCUCCGCGGAACCGGCUCCUCCUGAAGCAUGCGAUACUCCGACCAGAUUCCCUCCAUAAUUUCAUCAUUAAAAAUGCUAAAAACAAACAUAUUUUCAUGUGUUAAAUAUGUCUUUAGUCCUUACAUUUUGCGCCCCUUUGAAGAAUAGUUCCUACAUUUCAUUAAAUGUUUUUAAAAUCCUCACAUUUUCUCUCUGUUAUCAAAAUUAGUCCUUGCUGUUAAUUCUCCAACGGAAUGCUGAUGUGGCAGUUAGUGGGUCCCAAUUAUUUUAAGGUUAAAUAUGUUUUUUGUCUGUACAUUUUGCGUGACUUUGAAAAUUAGUUUUUACAUUUCAAUAAAUGUUUUUAAAAUCCCUAAAAUAAUAAGGACUAUUCUUCAAAGUCACGCAAAAUGUAGGGACCAAAAACAUAAUUAACCUUAAAAUAAUUGGGACCCAGUAACUACCACAUCAACAUUCUAUUAGAGAAUCAACAACAAGGACUAAUUUUGAUAACGGAGAUAAAAUGUGAGGAUUUUAAAAACAUUUAAUGAAAUGUAAGGACUAUUCUUCAAAGUCACGCAAAAUGUAGGGACGAAAAACAUAAUUAUCCCUAAAAUAAUUGGGACCCAUUAACUGCCACAUCAGCAUUCCGUUAGAGAAUUAACAAUAGGGACUAAUUUUGAUAACGGAAAUAAAAUGUGAGGAUUUUAAAAACAUUUAAUGAAAUGUAAGGACUAUUCUUCAAAGGGAAGCAAAAUGUAAGCACUAAAAACACAUUUAACCCUAUUUUGAUUGAGACAUUUUAUCAAACACCUAGAGUUCAACAUAAUUUCUAACAAUUCCUAACUCUAACCUAACUCUAACGUACCAUAUUUCAAUCAAACCUACUCUAAUCAACUUCUAAAAAACAAUUUAUAACUUAAUUUAUCAUUAACAAUAAAAAUAUCAAACAUGCAAAUCAACUCUAAAACUUAAAAUUUCACAAUUUCAUCCAAAAAAAAAAAAACUAACAUUUAAACCCAAAAAACCCAAUGCAAAAGGUUAGAUAGCACUUGUGAUGGAAGUAGAAUUUGAUAUUGAUUUGAUUGAGUUCGGUGAAAAUCGCACAAAGUGGGAGAAAUUUCAUAAAAAAUGAGUUUGAAACACAAUGGUUAUAUUUUUGUCUGUUGUCGUUCUAUAAUAACACGCAAUGUGAGUUAAGUCACGCUGGGUUACAACGUAUGUGAGUUAAUUCAUGUUGAAUGUACCGGGCGUGACUUAUGUCACGAACGUGGGGGUACUUUCGUCCAUUCAGUUGGGAGCGAGUAUUUAUUGAUGGGAGAAGAGCAAUUUUCUAAAAACUUUGGGUGUGGUGGAAGAUUCUAAGUGAGGGUUGUAUGUUCUGUUAUGUUAAAAUAACGGAUAACUGAUAAGUUUGCUGAUAGCUGAUAGUUUAUAGCUGAUAGAUGUUGGUUGAUGGCUGAUAACUUAUAGUUUAUAGUUAAUGACUAUUGACUGAUGUUGAUAAGCUAGUUAAAGUGUGCUAAAAUUAACGGUUCAAUUAACUGAUAAAUAUAAAUUGACAUAAAAUGAAUUUUUUUUAUUCAUAAUACUUUUUUGAGAGGACCAAAGCCCAAUUUAAUUGAAAAAUUUAAUAAUUAGAAUUUAUAAAAAAAAAAAUCUGAAAAUAAAAUGUUUACUAGACUUUCCACCCGUGCUGCCGCACGGGUCAUAUACAUUGUAGAUAUAGUAGACAAAAACAAAUCUCAAUGCAUAUCAAAGAGAAUGAAAUAUGUGGUCCCAAAUAUAUGCAGAUGUUGGAAUUCGAACCUCAGACACCACGCUUAUUCACCAAAAAAAUAUUAAUUUUUAUCAAUCGUGUGUUACUUCAUUCCUUUGUUAAAAUUAUAUGUCAAUAUUAUAUUAUUGGUAUGUUACUUCAUAUUUUUCUUUUUUUUUUUGAAAAAAUGUUACUUCAUUCUUUUGUAAAAAUUAUAUGUUAAUGUUAUAUUAUGUACCUAAAAAUAGUUCAUUCUUAACCUCAACAUGUAAAAUGUUUUAUUUAAAUAAUUUUCCUUUUAUCGAAUAUUUGGCCUUUACCGUAAAUGAUACCCUUUAACUGUUUGUUGAAAUGUUUCUUCCACCUGUUUAUAUAGAUUGCAAAAUUCAGGUGCAUUUUGUGGUAAAUAUUUAACAAAGAGAGUUCAAUUCUAAUUUGGAUGAAAAGUGUAAUAUUAACAAAAAAAAAUGUUGCUAUAAUCUUUCAAAACCCUUUUAUUCCAAUAGGGCGAUUUGUUUUGUUGAAGAAAUAGGGCGAUUUGUGUUUUGAAGAAAUAGGGGAAAUAAAGCGAUGCCGAUUUGCUUUGUUCAUGAAAAUAGGAGAUUAGGUGUGAGCAUUAGCGUUGUUCAUGAAAAUAGAAGAUUAGGUGUGAGCAUUAGGGUUAAAACGGUAAAAUUAUGCAACAGGGUUUAGGUUAAAAUUAGGGCUCAUGAAAAUAUGAGAUUAGGUGUGAGCAUUAGGGUUGUUCAUGAAAAUAUAAGAUUAGGUGUGAGCAUUAGGGUUAAAACGGUAAAAUUAUGCAACAGGGUUUAGGUUAAAAUUAGGGCGCAUGAAAAUAUGAGAUUAGGUGUGAGCAUUAGGGUUGUUCAUGAAAAUAUAAGAUUAGGUGUGAGCAUUAGGGUUAAAACGGUAAAAUUAUGAAAUAUGAUUUAGGUUAAAAUUAGGGCUUACGGGUUACCUUUAAUAUAUAAGAAGAUUAGGUGAGAGCAAUAGGAUUGUUCAUGAAAAUAGGAGAUUAGGUGUGAACAUUAGAGUUAAAACAGUAAAAUUAUGCAAUAGAGUUUAGGUUAAAAUUAGGGCUUACUUGUUAACUUUAAUAUAUAACUUUAAUAUAUAAGAAGAUAAGCCCUUAACUUUGCCAAAUCCCCAAAUUGAUUCAACCAAAUUCUUCCUCCCCAAAUUGAAUCAUCAUGCAUCAUUCCUUCAUUAUAUGUCAAUUAACCGGUUGGUAUGAAGUAGAAAAUCGAGCGAUGUUGCAUUAUUUCAUUUACCGAUACAUGCUUAAGCAAAGACCAAGAAAAGAGAACAUGGCAAUAGAGAUGGAAUGGUUCAUUACCUUUUUAGAUUGAAGAAUGGAUUGGGGAGUUACGAUUUUUUUAAAGAGAAAACUAGUUACAAACCCGUGCUUCGCACGGGUUCAAUAACGUUUUUGAUAAAAAAAAAUCGAAAGAAGAUAUGUUAAAACGACGGAACAUUAUGAUUCAUCAUAAAAUAUGUAUGGACUGGUUCCAAAGCAUUAUAAAGAUCUGCUGUAGAAAAAGGGCAUGUUCUAUUUUGUUCAAAAGAUUAUGAAAACAACAUUAUAAUUAACAUGAUACUAAUUUGAACCAAUGAAGAAACCAACAAUGUGCAGAUUAACGUUACAUAAUAGUUAGGUUUAUAAAAGAGACUCCAAGUGUCAAAGACUAACUAAAAAGAGAUUUUUGCCAAUAUUUACUUCAGACAAAAUGAAAAGAACAAAUGACAUCCCAAAGUCAAAAUAGUUUACGAUUACAGACCAAAGCGAUACGUCAAAAUAGUAGAAGUUCAAAUAGUUCAGCAGCAAAUAUCUACUUUAGAACAACUCGAACGUGCAAGUUCUUCGGUGACUUUUCGAGACCAAAUAUGAGCUUACCACCUUCUAUCAUCACACGUUCUCUGCAGAAAUUGAUCCAUAGCCCACCCAAGUAUUUUUCAUAGCUUGCUCUUUCGGCGGUAAUGAGGCGACACUUAUACUUUCUCUGUAUGCGAAUAUAGUUACAUAUAAUUUAUAAAAUAAAGGUAGCUUAACUGAUUUAAGCUAAAGAAAAUGUAUCAUGACUUCUAAUUUAUCUUCCUAUAAAGUCUAGAUAAAUACAUGUAUGUGCAUUAUAUGAACCCCGUUGACCAAUUAACAUUGUUGAAACAAAUGGAAAUUAAGCAUCACUCCCGCAUGUGCAUCUAUAGCUAGCACCAUUUGACAUUGAUGUCUUCGAACAUUUGGUGCAACUCUUAUAAUACCAUCCAAACUGGUUAGGAUUGAAUUUAGUUGUUUUCCAAAUAGUGAUGAAGUAUGUAUCCUAACCCAAAUUAUGCACAUGAAAUAAAGAAUAAUGCAAUAUGUAUUUUUAACUUGUGCAUCAAAAAACUCAAAGCAUGUUCGUGCAUAAAAAAAGCAGACCAUGACUAAGUUUAUAAAUUCAGUAAUUGGCCUAACCUGAGGCAGAUUGAAAAAAUCGUUGUACAAAGUACGUUGAGAAGAAGCCGAACUCUAACUUAAGUUAUGACUGAUACUUUGACUCUGAGCUUGAGAAGUGUUAAGGUCACGACAACAAUUCAAGAAACAUGGUCAAAAAACAAUCAAAUCAAAUUGUGAAAUAAUAAGUUACUCUAAUACUAUAUUUUGAAAUCAUAAUGCAAACUUACUAAGUCUUAAACUUCUCAACAACCGGAUAAUGUAGGUUGAUGAGCAGCCUCGAACCUGACCAAUUGUUACAUAUAUUUGGGUUGCCAAUGACUACAAAAUGGAAGAACUCAAGGUAAAUAGAUGGUAAAUGAUCAAGCUACAGAGUAUUUUUCCCAUAGUGUUACAUCAACUAUAUUCCCACUGCAUAAGGAAAGACAUCUUUCAGGUCAUUAUCAAACUUAUACAAAAUUCUAUCAUCUGACGUUGACAAAUUAGAAAAUAAUACCUUUUAUCUUUCAACACAAUGUUCGUACACGGUUUCUUUCUAGUCCCAAUUGGUGUUGUCUUGACAAUCUCAUGAAGAAGCCCGAUGAUUUCUUAAAAAAAAAUUACAUCUAUAAUAAUAUUAUAAUCGGAGAAAACAAAGAAAUAAAUUAAAGCACAUAACUAUAUCAUAUAAAAUGUCAGAUUUGAAUUUUCCAUCUUGAAUUUCCUUAAAUGACUUAAAACGAAAUUCAUGAGUAAGAACGUUAGUUAACUUGUCAUACUUCUGCACCUUUGUAUCAGAACCAAAAACAACCCUAAAGAGAUUAAAUACAAUGUCCUUAUCAAACACAUGACAAUUAUACAAAGUAUAAGUCUUGUUUUCCUCGAUCAAAGCCUUUCAAUGCUCCAAUUCUCUAUACCGAGUUAUUACAUGAACUCGAUCACCCUAAAUUCGAGAAAGAAACCAAAAAAUGUAAAUAAAUCAAAAUGUACACUAAUAAGUAACAUUGAUAAAUCAUAAAGGAAAUUACAACAAAUCUUAACUAACUCAUCUAAUCUUUGCAUCACAAAUAAUGAGCUUCAUAUGUUGAUUCUCAUUACUACCAUUUACAAUCCAAGAAUCCAGCACUCCAAAUCCUAUUUUCCAAAUGUCCAAAUCAUUUUUUAGAUCCUUAAUGUAGUCAUAAUCCCUUGACAUCGAAAGUCCUAUAUAAAGAUACAAUAAUACAUCAUUUAAUUUUAUUCCCUUUGUUCAUUCUGAUAUCGAAAGAAGCUAACAUAUCCUAUGUGAUCAAUUUUUGUAUCAUCAAAUCAACCUGAUCUUAAAUGCACAAAUUUCUGAAUCAUCAACUUUUUGGACGUCAAUGAUAUGACCAAAACAAAUUUCACCAAUCAACUUUUGUACGGCUCAAUCAUAUAGGAAAGAAUAAACCAAAUAUGAAAAUUGUUAUGGCUUUAUGAUUACUCACAAAAACUAAAAUAACCCACAUACAUCAAUUUUUUUUCAACCACAGUACCAGAAGCUAAAAUAACAAUUGUGUCAAAACCUUAUCAUGAGCUAAAAUUCAAUCAUCAUGAUUUAUCAAUGUUACUUAUUAGUGUACAUUUUGGUGUCUUUCAAAAAGAUAAGAAUUUAUAUUAUAUGAUAUUAUAUUUGUUACAUUGUUGGUGCCAUGGAAACAUAUAUGUUUAGUUUUUUCGAAUAAGAAGAAGAUAUGCAUAGUUUGUUAUAAUAUAAGGGUGCAAAAUAUAUAUAUAAGUAUAAUUUUUCUAGGCAUCUAGACCUUUUUUGAAGAUAAGAAUAAAAAUAAUCAUACGCAUUAUGCAACGUCAAAAAAAAUUAUACGCAGUAGCGUAACAAAAAAACAGACACAUAUAAAGUAUUACUCUAAGCGCUAAUAUGUGUGUUCGUAUAUAUUUGCGAGGUUGAAGAAAGAAAAUAAAAAUAUUUGGUAUCAUUAAAUGACAGCGUGAAUAAAAAUAUUUGUAAGGUUGUGAUGAUUAAACAAUAUUGAAUUUAAAUGUAUAAGUGAUAAAAAGAUAAUAAAAUUCCUUUGAAAAAAAAGGUAAUAAAAUUAAAUGGGACCUCCUUAAAAAAAAUUAAAUGGAACGAUUCCAAAAAAAAUUAAAUGGAAGAAAAAAUCAUAUUGAAAUAUAAUAUUAAAAAAUAAAAGAAAAGGUUCCCAGUGUGAGUUGAAAAGAUGUGCUUUUGAAAUAAAUUGUCGAGAAGUAGUUUUUUAAAGUAACAUUCAACAACUUUUGGCCAAAGCUCAUUCCAUUCAAUUUUAUGCAUUAAAAAAAAAUUACUUUUUGUAGUAAGUACUUAAUUGAUAUUGUGUUUGUGUUUGACCUAACUUCUCCUUAAAAAUGUAGAAAAGUUGGAAAAAAAGCCGGGUCAAACGAUACCUUAUUCUCCUACAACGGCAAUGUAGAAGCAACUUAAUUUUGGACAAAAAAUUGAAAAAUAGUUAAAAACAUAAAAAUUGGAAAUAAAAUAUUUGGUAUCAUUUAAUGACAGCGUGAAUAAAAAUAUUUGUGGAGUUGUGAUGAUUAAACAAUAUUGAAAUUAAAUAUAUAUGCGAUAAAAAGAUAAUAAAAUUAAAUGGAACAUUCUUAAAAAAUUAAAUGGAACGGUUCAAAAAAAAAAGUUAAAUGGAAGGAAAAAAACAUAUUGAAAUAUAAUAUUAAACAAUAAAAGAAAAGGUUCCCAGCGUGAGUUAAAAAGAGGUGCUUGUGAAAUAAAUUGUCGAGAAGUAGUUUUUUUAAAGUAACAUUGAACAAAUUUUGGCCAAAGCUCAUUCCAUUCAAUUUUAUGCAUUCAAAAAAAUACAUUUUUUUAGUAAGUAAAUAGCGUGAGUUAAAAAGAGGUGCUUGUGAAAUAAAUUAUCGAGAAGUAGUUUUUAAAGUAACAUUCAAUAAUUUUUGGCCAAAGCUCAUUCCAUUCAAUUUUAUAUUCAAAAAAAUUUCUUUUUUUUAGUAAGUAAUUAAUUGAUACUAUGUUUGACCUAACUUCUCCUUAAAAAUGUAGAAAAGUUGAAAAAAUAAAAACCGGGUCAAGCGAUACCUUAAUCUUCUACAACGACAAUGUAGAAGCAACUGAAUUUGGGAUAAAAAAUUAAAAAAUAGUUAAAGUUAUCAAAAAUAUAAAAAUUAUAAAAUAAUUAAAAAAAUUGUGAGGGGCAAAAUGGGAAAUGCACCCAUAUAAUGGUGAGGUGGCAACAACACAAUUCCACCAAUUAGAAAAUUACAAAAAUACCCCUCCUAGGGGCAAAAUGGGAAAUUUAUAGAGCAUCAACUUUAAUAGUAGUAAGUAUAUAGAUAAGAAGAUGAAUGUGCAUCAUCAUCUUAGAAUGACAAAACAAUUAUUCUUUUUCUUUUUAUGGAGGAACGAUGGAUGCUUCAAUUUGGGGAGGAAGAAGGAGGAAGGAUUUUGUGUGAAUCAAUUUGGGGAUUUUGCAAAGGUAGGGUUCUUCAAUUAUAAACAUUUUAUUUUCAGAUUUUUUUUUUUUUAUAAAUUCUAAUUAUUAAAAUUUUUAAUUUAAUUUUACUAUUAAUGAUGUGGAAAUGAUGUGUCUAAUAAUGGUAUCAUGUUAGCAAUGUAAUAUAAUGUCAUUAAUGAACGCGCUACAUCAUUCAAAAAAAAAAGGAGGACAAUAAAUUUUUGUUGACAUUUUAAAUAGGAGAUCAAAAUGUUGGUUUUAGAAAAUGGAGUAUAAAAAAUUAACAAAAUUGAGAAAUGGAACAAAAGAUAAUAAACUAUAAGUUCAAAUGUUAUUUAAAAUAGCGUCUGAAAAAUAAGUUAUAUUAGUUCGUUAUGAAAAGAGACAGAUGUCAAACAGGACUUUUUGAUCAAACGACUUAUAAGCUAUAAACUCUUCUCUAUAAGCUACCUCUUUGCCCAUAGCAAACAGACCCGUGAGUGUGGGGGGAGGAGGAUGGUUUUGUCCAAUAACACCACCAAUAGGCUUGCGGAUAAUUAUAGAUGGAGGAAGGGGGUAUGAGUAUGAUAGUUCCGGAAACACUUGGAGGGAGUAGGUAGGAAAUAGUUGGAUGCAGUAGGGAUUAGUAGAACAUGAAGAAGCAGAUGUGUUGAAUAAAGGAAGAAGGGAGAAAGCAACUAGUGAUCAAUGAUUGUGUUGAUUUAUAAUGAGAGGCUUGGAGAGAUCGAAAAGGAAAAUGAUUAACUAGUUGGUGCGCCAAAAAAAGGUAGAUGUCAGGGUGUGCUUGGAGUGGAGAUUCUUAAAAAAUGUUGCUUUGACAAUAAUAUAUAUUCUAAAUGUGAUAUAAUGGCAAAGACGAGGUUGUGCGGGAAUCUUUUGAUGGUUAGAAAUACUUUGUGAGAAGGAGAAUGGUGUUCGAUGGAUGAUUUAAUACGCGUGUAGUUCGGAAAGGGGGAAGGGGAAUAAAUUUGGAAGCUUCUUUGGGACAACAGUUAGAAAUGAAUAUUUUCAAUAAGGGAGGUGGACUUGGUGGAUGUGACCCCUCUAGAUCGUAGAUUUACUUGGUAUAAUUUAAAUGGGAGUGCGAUGAGUCAUAUUGAUAAAGGUCAAAUUAAAAGAAAAAAUGUUACAAUAAAACACAGUAUUUAUUUAAGGGGAAAAUAUUUUUUUUAUAAUGUCGAAGUUACAUGCUAACAUGAUACGACACUGUUUUAAUUCGAAGGUGUGUUAAAACCUAGCAGCAGAUCAAAGGUACAGUACAACCACAAACCCAAGGUUACUUGCUUUCCAAGGCCACAAAAGGGACCUUUAACUCUGCUAUACUCUAUUUUGUGUAAAAUAGAGUGCACAUCGAUCUUCCCCUCAGAUAUACACUAUUUUGUGCUUCAAUAAAAAUUGAAGUGUUUCAAUUAUAAAAAUUUGUGAAGCGAAAACAAAGUAUUAACCGUUAAAAUUGUGAAGCGAAAACAAUGUAUUAACCGUUAACUAUGUGAAAUGAAAACAGAGAGAAUUGAUAUAAAUCUCGUAUUCAUAUCGCAUAUUCUGUGAUUUAACUAUGUGUACAAGAAGGUUUAAUAUUAACUAACUGUGAUAGAUUCUAGAUGACUCCUACAUUUCUAAUAUUAACUUCACUUGUUCUGUACAUUCUACAUUGUUACAGAAUUUGCCAAAUUUUCAGAAAAUUACAGAAUCUGUCCAUUAUACCUUGUUACUGAUGUAAAAGCUUGUCAAGUGUUGAUUCAUCAAUUUUUAUCUCUUAAGAAACAGAGCUUUAAGUGUGAGUGGAUGCACCUCACUUAAGAGCUUUUGAACAAGCAUUUGUUCACCAUUUCUCUGAGAAUUGUAUAUAUGUCGCUUGUUGCUCUAGGGCCUGUUUGAGUAAGAGUCAGAGGCAUAUAGCAGUAAAGAUAUUAUCAGAAGGCAUCAUCAGAUCCUAUUUUACAGCACUUGAUAUGUUUUUCAUCUCUUAAUCAUUUGAGAGUGAAAUAUCAUUUAUGGACUAAUCUUUGAACCAGCAGGCAGGAUUUCGGAAGCAAGUAUUUGAGGCUUUUGUGAGCAAUUGUUUGGUGCCUAAAGAGUAACCUUCGAAUAUCACUCCUUCCACAUUUUUUUCUCCUUUUCAGCUGUUGCUUUUGCCUUCUGUCGAACCAAGCAAAGUGUUCAUGUGCUCUCCACCAAAUCCAAUAUGCAUAAGCUCUUCAAGUAAAGACCUACUCAUAAACCAAAUUAUUUUGCAGUACCAUAAAAUGGAACAGAGUCAAUAAACUAAAUUUAUUCCCUAAGUUAUCGGUAUAAUGAGUGCGAGGAAGAUUAUGUACCUCAUAUCAUAUGUUUCAUCUAAUUCGAAGUUUGAUGGCAGAGUUCCAAAGAUGUCUAGCUUUAAUUUGUUUGAUGGAGGAAUUGUUUCUUCUAGAUCAUCUGAUUCAAAAUUUGUUGGAGGAAUUGUUUCUUCUCGAUGAUUGGAUUGAAAAUUUGAUGAAGAUGCAGAUGCAGUUUCUUCUUGAUCAUGAGAUUCAAAAAUUGUUGAAGGAAUAGUUUCUUCCUUAUAUAUCCAGUGAAAUCCACACUCUUUUAUCGAUACUUCAUCAUAUAGAUCUUCUUCAAUAAAGAAUCUAAAUGUAAGCUUUGGAUUGCAACUAGUGCUGUUCACAUCAUUAAUGGAUUUUAUUUCUUCAACUGCUGCCAUUAUCUGCUUGCAACUUGCUUGAUCAUACCAAGAAACCAAAUGAUCCGAUAUCAUGUGGAUUGAUGGAUCGAAACGCAAUAACCAACUGAAGAAAUUUGCUCUUGUGAAACUUGUUAUAUAGAUUCUUUCACCUGAACUAUUGUCCAAAUAGCACUCACAUCCAAAAUCCACAUCAUAUCCCAUAUGGCCUUGAGAAAGAACCAAGUAGUACGAAAAUCCCUGUAAAUUAGACGGAAGCUCAAGAGUGACACAAACUUGUGUAGAAGAGUAAUGGAACCAAUUUUCCAUGCCAGGCAUAGCAGGUAAAAAGUACCAAAUAAUUUCAUCAUCAUCAUAUAAAGAUGGUCCAGUUUCAAUUCUAUCCAUAGCAUCUUUCAAAACUGUUUGGUAUGAAUGUGGUUCCAAAUUUUUGCAGUUAAGGAGAUAAAUAAAACAAGGAUUGGGUUCCUCAUAUGGUUCAAUCGUUGAACUCAACACUUUCUCAAGAGAUUCACAAUUCGAGACAACCAAAACUGGAAUGAACUGUGAAAGUGCCGGAAUAGAUUGAAUCAUUUUACAAUCGUAAACAUCAACACGUUCAAGUCGGGGAAGAUACUUAAUGGUUUCAGGCAAGCUUCUAAUGUCCAUACCAUCCAGUGUUAAAGACUUUAACGACGAUAGUAAGGAGAUACUAUCUGGGAAUUCAGACAAUAUAGGAAUAUAAAUAAAGGUUAAUUCUUUUACACUCUGGAAGGCAGGACUAGAAAAUAAUUUAUCUAAGGUGAUAAAAGGGUCAUCUUCACGAUUCUGUGGACUCGAAAGCGAAAUAUGAUCGGCAAAGUUUUCUGGAAGAUCCACAAGACAAUCACUGAUUGGAAAGACAAACCGUUUAAGGUUUUGUUUAUGCAAUAUUGACGAUGGAAGUUCAUUCCGAUCCCACUCUGAUAAACACAAAUCCAAACCAUCAACGGAUGAAAAUGUGACUGAGAACUCUUUGAGAUUGAUGCAAUCCCUAGCUUCCAAUUUCCGGAGCGCUGGUGAACAAGUGUUACUCGAAAGGCUCUUAAGCGAUGUACACUCGAAUACAUUUAAAACUUCAAGCUUUUGGAGAAGGAAAAUUGAUGAAUCAACUUCAGGCAUGCUUUCACAAUAACGAAGUAUUACAUGUUUUAGAUUUGGGGAACCCGACACAUUUGGACACUCUAUCAGCUUUUUGGAGCCACCGAGGUCAAGUAUCUCUAAAUUUGGCAAAUCCUAUAACAAUAUACAAUUGGUCAAACAAGUUAGUGCAUUUUCUUAAAUUCUAUAGAUUUCACAACCAAGAAGGGGGAAUAAGUAUAAAGGCUCACAUGCAUUUUUUGUUUUCCUAUUUUGAUAAAACCACAAUUUUGGUCAGCCAUUUCUAAUUAUGCAAUUUUGAUCACCUAUUUUCUAAUUACGCAAUUUUGGUCCCUAAUUUUUAGAAAUUGGGAGUAUAUAUGUAAAAGAGUCUUGCUAAUGAAUGCUCACCAUCAUUUUCCAUUAUAAAAUACUUAAAACUUUUAACAAAACCAAAAAAAAUACAAGGAUCAUACUUACCAGUACUCCAUUCCAAAGUUUUUCCACAUGGCUUCCUUUCAAUGAAAGCUCCACAAGCAUUUCAGGACAAAAGGUGGAAGGCAAAGAUUGCAAUGGAUAGCCAUCCCAUUGAAAAUAUCUUAAAUUUUCUGGCAAUAAAUCAAGACCAUGUGGAAGGUUUAUAGAUUUAAUUCCCUUGUUGUCUUGAAAAGCAAGUAACCUUAGAUUUACCAUCUUUUCAAAUGAUUCAGGUCUUAAAUUAAUAUGUGUGAAUUCAGUAGCAUCUAAAAAUAUGGAUUCAACAUUCUCAGAUCCCUGUAAAAAAGUAAAUCUCAACGUUAGUAUUUCCGUAGGAAGUUGCAUUUUGUAUAUAAAGAUCAUAUGAAUAGGAAGGCAAGUGAGGGCAUCUCUUACUCUAUUAUUUUUCAAUACAUUACAAACUUCCUUAGGAUCACAUAAUCUACUGCGUUGUCCGGGAUUCUUAAGUGAUUCUUCACGAACAAUUUGUUUUCCUGUUUCUUGUAUCAAGUCAUGCAUUUGUAUGCAAUUUUCAAAGUCAACGCUUAUAAGAGCCUUGUCUAAAAGAUUACUUAUCCCUAUAUCAGCAAAGAAACCACACUCAUUUAAUAUUUUUGUUAUUCUAUUCCUUUCAUGUCCUUUGAAAAAGCACGCAAUGUCUAAAAAUAUAUCUUUCUCUUUAUCAUCCAAUUCAUUAUAACUCAAUCUGAAUAUAAAAUCAAUUUCAGUGUUUGGAAUUUCUUUCAGUUUAGCCAGUGCACAAUCCCAUUCAAUUUCACUUUUACAACGAAGUAAUGAUCCCAAUACUUUCAAAGCUAAAGGAUUUCCUUUGGCAUAAUCAACUGCUCUUUUUGAGAGCUCCACAUAUCCAUCCUUAGGUGAGACUUUUCCAAAAGCAUUCAAGCUGAAAAGCUGGAGGGAAUUUUGGGAAUUCAUCUUCUUAACUUCAUAAAUUUUUUCAAUCCCUCCACUUAUCAAGACAUGCUUAUCCCUAGUCGUCACAAUGACUGUGCUACCAGAUCCUAGCCAACCAUGUCCUACUCCAAUCAAGUUUUGCAGAAGUUCUGAAUUAUGUACAUCAUCUAUUACAAUGAAAGAUUUCAUGCGUUUGAGUCUUCUCAUGAUCAUUGAUGGUAUUAAUUUGGAAGUAUCAAUAUCAAGAUCUUCCCUGAGUAACUUGGAAAGAAGUUUGUUGCAUGUGUAAUUGAUCCCAUGUCUCUUUGAUACUUCUGUUACCUUUUCUAAGAAGCAACUGCCUUCAUAUUUAAAAGAGACCCUUUGAAACAUAGCAGCAGCAAGGGUUGUCUUACCUGUGCCUCCCAUACCCCAAAGUCCAAUGAUUUGAACUUCUGUUAGAUCAGAUUUUAUUAAAGAUUGAAUGCUCCAAUAGUUUUCAUCAAGUAUGAAAUUACAUGGAAGAUCAUUUGUAUACUGUUGAUUUAAUUUUCCUAAUACAGCUCUAGUAAUGGCUUCAAUCAUUUCAGAUUCAGUCCUAACAUGUGCAAAAAAAAAAAAAAAAAGUUAAUACAUAUCAUAUGAAUGCCAACCAAAGGUAAAAUCCAAUUCUUCAUCUGAAUCUUAGAAUUAAAAUAUUAGGAAAAACUAACAAAAUACUCAAACAUUCACACAAUUCAUUUUCAUUUAUAUGCAUUUACAGAACAUACAUGUAUUGAAUUGGGCUUGAUCCUUAAGUGUACUUAAAUUAACAUUUUUGUUGAUCAAAGAUAAUUUUCAACCAAAUAGUAUGUCAGGAAAGGCUGUUACCAGACCAAAAUUAUAAUCGACGUAAUUCUCAAUAUAAAAAUAUCAUCAACAUUAAUGAUUAAAAAUAUAAAGCACAUGGGAAUAAACAUGUAUUUACAAAUGAUUAUUUUACUUUAUUAGAUCCUACAUAGUCUCUUUAGUUUCUGUUGUGAAUCCGGUUGAAACUCACACCAAUGAAAUAAACAAUGAUGUGUGGAGCAAGUGAUAGUGGUAAUCAAUGAGAACAAAUGGUUUCCAAGCAAACAACAACAAAGCAGCCCUAGACUAGUGUAUAGCAAAACCACACUAAGAGAUAACAAAGCAUAAACAAGAUAAGCAAGAAAGGAAGAACAAAACACCGAGAAGAUUGUUGACCCAGUUCAGCCAAUAUGGCCUAAUCUGGGGGAGAGAGCAGCUCUCCAAUCCAAUAUGAGAAAGUGUUACAAAAGGUUACAAGAAACUCUAGCCUUCAAGCUUUACACAAGACAAACCCUAGAUUCUACCCUUUGGUGUUUCCCCACUCUCACAAGAUGAACCCUAAAAAAGAGAAGUCACUAGAGGAAGCUUUUGAUCCUUCCAACUAAUGAACUCCUCACUACCCAAGGUGAUUACAAUGUUUUUCCCAACCCAAGAGACACUCUCAACAAAGACACUCAACCCUUUGGUUCCCUCCUUUGCUAUCCAAGUUCUAUCUCUAAGCUCUUCCAAGCUCUCUCUCAAAAAAGCACAAGAACACAAUAUAUACUAGUCUUCCUCUGAAGAAAUUGUGCCACGAUUUCCCACAAUCGUGUCACGAUUUGCAUCUGACCCAAGGUUGACAAGUCCUUAUUAGUGAUACUUAACGAGCAAGUUUCUGAAUCGUGUCACGAUUUCCCAAGAUCGUGCCACGAUUUGGCGUCCUGCAAACUAGCUCACGGCACCUUGAAAUCGUGUCACGAUGCCAAAAUCGUGUCAUGAUUUCUCUGUUCUUCCAGACCACAAAUUUGAAGCCAAUAACAACAGUUUCUUUAGUUUGUUAGUCUCUUAGUCUUAACUUGUUGUUGUCGUCGUUGUCUAUUAUGAUCAUGUUGAGUUUAUUGUCUUUCUAGUUCCUACCCACCGUGUAUUUUUUCGUGUGAACUAAGUAGGUAUCAUAUACGCACAAUUGCAAAGAAUAAUCUUUCAAGUUGCAUAUGAUUAUAAUAGAUGGUAAAACUGUCCUUCAAAAAAUUUAUUUAAUGAUGUUGCAUUUCAUGAUUUAAGAUAUUCGGUGAUUCUUUCCUUUUCAUAUUAGUAACAUAUUUUACUAAAAAUACAAGGGAAUCUAGUUACCCAAGAGUAACAUAUUCUGUCCUUCAAAAUUGAUUUAAGUUGUUAUUUUCUAGUUUGCACUCAACUUGAAUAUGCUUCUAAACCUUAUGAUUUUUUAGCGAUUUAUUUUUUUUGCGUUUUCAUCAUAGUCAAUAGAUCAUAUAGCGUCAAUCUUCACUCAAUUGCGAUCAAUUAGCAAAUUUGAUAGGUUUUGAUGAUGAUGGAUAAUUGAAAGGUGGGGAUUCCGCAUUCAGAUGGAUGAGUGGGUUGAGAUUGGUGGUUCGGUUAGGUAAUCAGGGUUAUGUAAAACAAAAUGUUAAAUGAGCAAUAAUUCGGUAGUUAUCUAACGGAGGUAGAAAAUCGAAAUUUUUAAAAUGAACAUCCGAUAGUUAUCUACCGGAUGUACAAAAUAGAUUUUUUUUUUCUUUUUAAAAUGAACAUCCGGUAGUUAUCUACCGGCUGUACAAAAUGAUAUUUUUUUAUAUGAACAUCUGAUAGUUAUCUACUUGACGUGUUAUUAAGGACAAUUUCAUAAUUUUAAGAGGUCUAAAGAGAUAUGAGAGGGGGGGCCUAAAAAGAACCUUCCUUGUUAGUUUACCUAGAAGCAAUAUAAUUAAUGCAAAAUUACCAUAGGGUUCAUUCUCAAGACACCAAAAACACAUUACCUCGUGCAUUUUUAUACGUUAGAUUUUUUUUUUGUUAAACCUUUGUUUCUAAGGGAAGGUGCCUCUUUUUUUUUUUUUUUUUUUUAUAUUUUUUAUAAUUUCUUUUAACCCUAUUGUUGAAAUAAAUAAAUAAUUUUUCAUCUCCCUUUCUUUCUCUGGCCCUCCAUCAUAUACUUUCUUUCUUUCAUCUUUGUGUUCUCUUUACCUGCUUUGGUUGUUUUUUUUCCAUAUCAUUUUUUUUUUGUGCUUUAUAUAUAUAGGAAUAGUACUAUAUUAUUAGAGUUUUGCGUCGGGGGUUUACUAGUAUAAAUUCCAUACUGAAGUUUUAUUGCAUAAGAUUUUCUAUGAUAUAAUAGGAAUUUUUUUACUGAAAUAUUCUUAUUUCUUUCAUUGUAUUCUUAUGUGAUUAGGUGCUUUUAGAUGUGAACAAUGAAUUGUAACAAUUUCCUUUAAAAAAUAAAGAAUUGUAACAAUCUUUUAGAUAUUUAUUAAUUAAUUAUCGAUUUUAAUCACAGAACCAUGAUUUAGAGGUUUCUUCGGUUCGAUCUCCGAUCUGAUUUUUACAACAUUGAUAUUAAUUUGACGGGCAGACCGAUAAAAUUUAAUUUUAAUGUAUGCAAAAACAGAAAAACCUGUAUGUGGUGGAAUGAAAACCAGACAAAUUAGCUGCUUGAAAAAGAGCAUUCUUCCAAUUUUGCAUCAUCUUAUCAUCAUUUUUGCCUUGUUUCUUGUGUUUAAUCAACGCAGUGCCAUAACUACCAGUCUGCUUCCGCACGUGUGAAGGGUCAACAUGGUAGAACACUGGAAUAACAACAACCUUGUCAUCUUCAUUUUUGUUACAACACUCCAUUAUUUCAACAAGUUCGUUCAAACACCAUGUUGAAGAGGCAUAGUUUUCCGAGAACACCACAAGAAAUAUAGUGGAUUGUUUGAUUGCUUUCACUAGUUCUACCCAAACUUCAUCUCCUUUCUCGAUCCUGUAGUCUAUGUAGGUAUAAAUCUUGCUUCGGCACAAAUCAGCGUAAAGAUGGCUUGUGAAUCCAGCGCGAGUGUCAUCACCUCUAAAGCUGAUGAAAACAUCAUAUUUCUUCAUAGGCAUAGUAGCAGCAUGAGAAGAAGAAGAAGAAGAAGAAGAAGAAGAAGAAGAAGAAGAAGAAGCCAUAUAAUCUAUGAGUUAUUGUCCUUAGAAUGUGGGAAUACCCACAUGUAUAAAAGCACAUUUUCAUAAUGUGUGUGGACCCUUCUUUAAGCACUUUGCAGAAAAAUGGGAUGAUAAAGUGGAACACCAUGAGUGAUGCCUUUACUUUUUCUUUUGAUUUAUAGCAUAUGAUUUAUUCCUUUUUUUUUGGCAGUAUUUUUUUUAUAGUAAGGUUAGCAGUUACCGGAUGGAAUAUGGGAUUUCUUAGAAUUCCUUCUUUUUUUAGUGGUGGCCGGGGUUCGAAUUUCGGACCUUGCAUAUUUUAUGCAUUGUCCUUAUCAACUGAGCUAAGCUCACGAGGACUUAGAAUUCCUUCGAUGUUUCUUUAAAAGUAUUUAUUUUUGUUGAAUGAAAUUUUAUGUUUGUUUUGAUCCGAUAAAAGUGAAUAUCCAGUAAAAAUUGCAUUUAUCUAGUAUGUUUUACUGUUUUUAUGUUAUGUGAUCUAUUUGUUUCUUCUAUUUAUGUAGUGAUAAUUUUAAUUUUUUUUUUUUUUUUUUUGUGCUUUAGUUAGGAAAGAGGAAUGGGUUCUGAUGGAAUCAAAGCUAAUUUGAGAUUUUGACAUUUGAGGAUUAGAAUUUUAUUCUCUUAUAUUUAGGAAUCAAAGCCAAUUUGUCUUGAAGAAUUUUAUCUUGAAGAAUAAAUGUGUGAAAAAUUUGAGAAUUUUAUUCUUUUAUCGUGUGAAGAAUAAUUCUAAUAUGGAAUUGAAGAUAAUAUUUUGGCCAUCUCAACAAACAAGAACAUUAAUGUGAAAAAAUCCGAAUUUAAAAAAUAUGUAGGUUGUAGGAAUUACAUUUUAGUUCAUAAUCAAUCCAAAAAGAGACUCUGUAUCCGAUGUAAUCUAUCAAUUUGAAUGAAUGAAUAUCAUUUAUUUUUGUCAAAAAAAAGAACAUUAAUGUGAUUAAUAACGGCAGACCUUGGUAGAUGAUGGAUAUAGAACACGAGGAUAAUGAUAAUUUAUCUCAUGUGCAUAAAACACUAAGGGUGUGUUUGGAUUGAGGGUUUAGGAGGCGAAGGAGGGAGGAAUUUACAUUUUUUUUAAUUACGGACUAUAUAACAUGUUUUUCUAAAAUAAAUUAAGUGUGAUUGAAGUAUUAUACGAUCGUUUAUCAAGUUAAUAUGUUAAUUUUUUUAAAAACAUUUCAUAGUGUCCGUAUUUUAAAAAUGAAAAACCACCAAAUUAAGUGGUCGAGUUUAUUAUGACGUUGGUAGUCUGUUACGGCUAACCUUAAUGGUUUUGGGUCUUUUAGCAACACUUAUGAAGUGUUACAAAUUUAUUUCUUGCCUGUGAUUCAUCGAAGAGGCAUUCCACAAAGUUCAUUUAAUUAUCUUACCAUCAUUUAAUCUCUUCAUGAAUUACAUGUUCCCCGCAGAUUCAUUGUCUUUUACCCCAUUUCUCUUAAUAUAUUAUCUAUUUAGUGAGAAAUAAAAAAAAAAUUGUGAUACUACUCCUAAUUAAAAGUUAAUAUACUAAUUUGUUUAAUGAAAUAGACGAAUAACCAUGUUAUCAUGGAACAUGUUCCUUCCUUAAAAAUAAAACCUUGUUAUGAUGGUGUUGCAAGAAUUUUCUCUACUUUUGGCACAUCCGUUAUAUAGAUUCGAAGAUAACCCGUAAUCAAUAUAUAGGAGGCAAUGCUAGAACAUCAAUCAUUCAUACCAUGAGCCCUACAUGCAUGGAGUUAUGUUGAACAAACCAAAAACACCCUCCCAUUUGAAAGGUGUGCUAAAGAAGUGGCAACUAGUUCUAGAACGGUUGUAUUUGACUUUAAUGAUUAUUUAAUCAGUGAUACAAGAUAGACCUAAAUGAGAAAAGCACUAUUCACAGUUUCUUAAAUUUGUCUAUUUAAACCCAUGUUUAAUCGUCGACAAUUAAGUACCUUCAAAAUAUGUUUUAGGUGAAUAGUUUUUACAAUCAUGCCUAAUCAGUUUUGAUAAGAAAGGCUCAUUAUAAUUAUAAAAAUAAAAAAAAAAAUUAAAUAGCUUGGAUAUAACAGCGAAAUUGCUAGGAAUUUUAGCUAGAGUUUUACUGCAAAAUUGUUGUGACGAUAUAUCCUAGCGAUAUAGUUACGACACAUAAACUUUUGAACAAUAUUUUACUAUAAUUUAAUUGGUAAUUAGCUACAAUUUUUUCAUAUAUUAUUUUCAUUUUAGCUAGUAAAUAUUUUGCCAGAUCAUUUUCCGUUCAAUGCAUGCUAUGACAGCUAAUUCAUAAUUAUUCUCUAGCUAAAUGUAUUUGCGCUAGAGAUUAGCUACAAAUUUGCUUAGAUUUCAAUCUUGCAGCUAAUGGCAGAUUUUCUUGUAGUGCACGCAUAAUGAUUUUGAUUUAUUAUAUUGCCUAACUAUAAUUUAUCAUGUCAUUUUUUGUGCCGAUCAAGAUUCACUUCAAUCAAUAUUUUACCACAUUCACACAUUCGAAAUAUCUACAGUAGUUGGAUCAAGAUCAAAAGAUCAUGAUCUAACGACCGCUGAUAUGCCAAAGAUGAAUGUAGAAAAAAUAUUAAAUACUGAGGCUGAAUUAAAAUAUUAGGAAGAACAAGAACAAGACAAAUACAAUCUAUGUAUAGUAUACCAUAUAUUUUGCAAAUUAAACAGUGAGAUUUGUGGUCACAACUACAAACUAAAUAGGAAAUAAUUUGAAAUGAACCUAAAAAUAAGUGGUUUCCCUAGAGAAAGUCGAAGAUUUAAAAUCAAGGCCGCAAAGGAAACCUGUAAUUUCAAACCAUGAAGGCACUAAAUGUAGGUGGCAAUGACACGAAAUCUAACCAUUUUGAAGUUCUAACUCCCUUCUUAGUAGUGGCGGAGCCUUUCAUGGGCUGGGGUGGGCCACGGCCCACCCGAAAAAAUUAAAAAAUCAACAAUUAUAGGUCUAUUUUGUGAGAUUUUAUGCAAUUUUGUGUCGAUUUUAUGUUUUGGUUGAUCCAAAUUCUUGCAAAGUGGUGUAGUGGCCCACCCGAAAAUUUAAAUAAUUCAAUUAUAGUUUUAUUUUGCGAGAAUUUAUACAAUUUUAUGUCGAUUUUAGGUUUCGGAUGAUCCAAAUUCCCGCAAAUUGGUGUAGUGGCCCACCCGAAAAAUUUAAAUAAUUCAAUUAAAGGUCUAAUUUGCGAGACUUUAAACAAUUUUUCAAUAGUUACUUUUAGUGGCCCACCCUGACAUUUUUUUUCUGGCUCCGCCACUGCUUCUUAGCCAUUAUUUCAUUAGUUAAAUUUACUUUGAAAUCCAGAAGUCCUAGCUCAACUGGCAAAAUGCCGAAAUUGUUAGGCCGGAUGUCAUGACCGGGGUUCGAACCCCGGUACCUCCACUUGUGUGUGUGAGUUUAUAAUGGCUUUGCCAUUUCGUCUAUCUACCAAAAAAAAAAAUUACUUUGAAAAUUGAGAUUCACUUUGUAGCCAUGAAACGGUUUUAUAACAGAGUGAAUUUGAGAUUCACUUUGAUAUAUAUAUAUAUAUAUAUAUAUAUAUAUAUAUAUAUAUAUAUAUGUAGUUUCUUUGGAAACAAAUAGGUCAUGGAAGGAAAUGGGAGAUGCAGAGAAGAGCCGGUCGAUAGAAAAAGACUAUUGUUUUUUGGUAUUGUCGAUCUUACUAACAUCUUGUUUUAAUUUUUUUUUACUCUUUCAAUUAUUUAAAUAUUUAGUAUGUAUAUUUUUAUCAUUGAAUUAGAUUUUAUCCUUUAUUUAGUAGAAAAUUAAUUUCAGUAUAAAUAUCAUAAAUUAAUUUUUAUUCGAAUUUGUAGUGGUAAAUAAAAAUAAACGAAUUAAAUUUAAUAAAUAGUAUUAGGUUCUAGUGAAAAACACAAAACUGUUGGUAAAAGGCAUGUUUUUUUUGCUACUUUUAUUCAUGACGUUUACGCACCGGAUAAACCGUAGGUAGAACUUAAAACUUUUGGUGACAGUCACUUGAACUUUUCCUCUCAGACACAACCCUUGAAAUUGGGCGUACGUAAUUGACGCCUUUUUCUAGUAUUGAAGGACUUCUAUGGACAAAUAUUAUCUUUCUGUUGAUGUCAAAUUUCUUGAAGUGAUAUGUUGGGGGUAUAAGUGUGAAUAGUUUGUUGGAACAAAAUGUGUUUCACAAUGAACCUUAAUGAGUUUUGAUGAUAACAUGGUAUUAAAAAUUGUCAAUUGGUUAUUACUAAUUAUUGUUCAAGUGUACAGGACCAAAGGCUAGUCAAGUAAUUUCAACAGGUCUUGGAAGAACAAUGAAAAGCAAAAGAAUUCCAAGCAUCUGAAGAAAACUGCUCCUGAAGUUGAAGUGCUUCUGAAGUGAUGACGUCAUCAGAAGCAAGGUUUUCAUCAGAAGCUAUAUCUUCACCAGAAGCUACAUUUGAUCCUUUAAUCAAUCUGAAGAUUCAAAGUAGCUGGUUCUCAAUUCAAUCUUAUCUAAGAAGAACGAAGAAUUGAAAGGGAUGUACCAACGGUCAUAUGGAUAGCACUGAGCAUUUGUCCCUCGUUAACAGAGUUGACAAAGUACAAGUGUACAACCACUACCUCCACUACUCUGUUUUUGUCCACGCUACAAGACAAGACAACAGCUAUGCCUGCAUAAUUUGUGUCCUCAAGAUGGGAAUGAAUUUGAAGCUUAUUCUUCAAAGGAGUACACUCAAAUCAGGCAAAGGAUUACUGGUGGAUGAUCAAAGGAUUUCAAACGACUCUUUAGACGUUCUGAUUAUCUCAACGUCUCUUUCACGCCUCUAUAUAAAGGAGUGAAGACUUGAAGAUUAAAGAUAGAGAUAUACAAGUUCAAAAGCGCCAAAACUCUGUCAAAUUGAUUCUACAAAGCACACUGAAUUUCUGCACUGAUUUGAUACAUCUUAGAAAUUCAAAGUCUAGAGUCUUUAUUGUAUUGUAUUGAGAACACCACUGAUUGUAUAUCAAGUGUUCAAGUCAAACUCAAUUCUCUGUAUUUUUGUUUGAUCAGAAGUCUCUUGCCUGCGUGCUUGAGCAUUAGAAGUCUCUUGCUUAGUGCUUGAGCAUUGGAAGACUCUUGCGUGUGUGCUUGAGCAUUUUUGUGAAGUCUCAUACUUAGAAAGUAUUGAGCAUUUGUAAUCUUUGUGAUUAUAGUGAAAUCUCCUUGGAAGUGCAAGGGGGACUGGACUACUUCCGUGUUGUGGAAGGAACCAGGAUAACUGCUUGUGUCUUUGUCUUUCUUUUCUCUGCUCUGCUCUGUUCUUUUCCGCUGCAUAUCUAAUUCUGAUCAUUUCAUCAGAAGCACUCACAAACUGCUUCUGAAGGUUUAUCAGAAGAAGAUUUUUAGAGAGAAAAAGAAAACACAAUUCAACCCCCCCUUCUUGUGUUUUUCUCACCUUCAUAGUUUAGUCUCACAUCGACUAUAAAUUAAUUAAAUGUAGGAUAUAUAACUUAUAAGAGUGGCGACUCAUGCCUAAUGUCUUAAGGUUUUGGGGUGGAGAAGUUGUGUCCAAUCUCUUGAUGGUCCUGAUCAUUUACCAAUUGUUUCUCUUAGCGCUCUCCCGGACUCUGCAACAAUAUCUUGAAAAACCAAAUGGUUAUAAAAUCGUUAACUUGCAUUGCUUUUUCAGCACUGUCUUGUUUUUGCCAUGCCAUAUUGCAAAUUUACACUACUAGAUUUGCACAAACCUUGGUGUUAUUAAUUAACUUUUUCCAAACAUAAACUCUUGUAUUUCAUAUCACAUGUCUAACACAUACAAGAGGUACACACAUCAUGAGUAUUUCUUAUUGAUGUAAAGUAAACCAUAAAUACCAACAAACAAACAAACAAACAAACAAACAUAACAACAUGACCAUGAUGAGGUAAUUUGACUACUUCACACAUUUUAUUUAAAGCAACAGAACAAACAAUGAAACUCAUUAAAUGGAGAUACUAUUAGGAAUGCCUCUGCCAGUCAAUCCUUCCUCACUAGAAGGAUAAAGCAGAGUGUAUGGCAUCUUCACAGGCCCGUAUCGGUUUCUCAAUGACUCAUCAUUGUUCCUUUUGAUGAGCUUUGCCUCAAUUUCAGCCAACUUCCUUCCAAACCUCUUGAAAGCUUCUAAUGGCUGUGAAUCAAAAGUCCAAGCCUCACCUUCAUUUCUCUGUCCAAGGUAUUGCUCAUCAGAAGCAUGCCUUGACAAGACCUCUAUGAUUGUAAGGUCAGUUAGGGUAUCAUUUUUUGGUGUGAUUGUCCUCAGAUACGCCUUCUGAAAGUUCUUAGAAAGCUCGUCAUACUCAGCAGACCCUUUCUUAGGCAUGUGUCUCCGGCUCUUAGUUGGUCGGUUAAGUAUAUAUCCUCCAUAUGGGUAUUGACCAAAAUUAACAGCUGCAUGAUGUGCUGAAGCAAUCCAUAUGAGGAUAGUGCAAGCUUCAAUCAACUCUGUACAAGUUUGCAUCUUAAACCACCAUGUAGCAUUCUUCAAAUCACCAUGACCCACCUCUACAACUUCUCUCCAAAAUGCUUGCAGUUCAGAAUCUUGCGCAACAGCAACAUCUGACUUGUAGUAGAAAUUCACAUAUUCUUCAACCCAUGACUUGAUAGCAUCCCAUAUCUCUAGUCCAUCAGCAGCAUAAGGGUAGUCCUCUAUCAGAAGGCGAAUUCCAUGUGGGGAAGUUGGAUCCUCAACAGCCACUCCUCUAGAUAUAGCAUGCAAGGAAGAUAUCAUUAACAUAAAAAAUACUUUUGACAUCAAUAUCUUUUUUACCAAGAUUAUUAAAUUUCUAUUGUAGUCACAAUCCUAGCCAUUAUAGAGAAUUGCGGUAAAAUAUAGUUGAUGCCUUAUCUUAGAUCAUGGUUACUAGCAUUAUUUCAAUCCUUUUUUAACUAAUGAAUGAGUAGUAACUAAUUUUUUUUUGAAGGUUACCUUUUAAGUAGAUCAUUAGGUAGUCCUUGAUCUGGGAAAACCCAAUCCUUAUAUAAUACAGAAGACAGUUCUAUAGAAUGACUUCCCAAUAAGAAUGUUGAUUCUAUAAUACCCUCUGCAUUUACCAAGACACUCCUUGCAAGUGCAUUAAUGUUCAUUGUGUCACGAUAAUGUGGAAGCAGAAGUUUGUGAAUAGGGUGAACCACACUAAGAUGCCUAUUAGUUGCUAUGAUGAAUGGCUCAACAACAGCGUGCGUGUUCAACCUGUUACACAUGUAGAUAUUCAUGAAUCAAUCUUAGAUAUAUAAAAUUAAAUAUGUUUGAUUCUAUAAAAAUUCAUCAACAUAAUUGUACCAGUGGCUGACAAGUUGGUGAACAGAAGAGUCAUUUACAAUAACAUAAGCCUUGGCAAGGAGCCAAAUAGAAGAUUCAACACCUUCCUUUGCAGGCAAGUAAACAUCACUAACAGGACCAAAGCUAUCAGCCUGAGGAUGUGGGCUACUUAGCUCAAUGGCUAAUGGCUUCAAAGUUCCAUCAUUUUGUAAGAAAAUGAUAGUUCUAGUAGCAUAUGCCUUUGUUGUAUCAGCUGCAUUUAUUUUCCUCAGAUAUGGAUAUAUUGAGUCAUGGUGAUCAAGUAUGUAAAGCCUGUUGUUUUGGAUAGCCUAUUGAACAAAAUAUAAUUUAGUCAUUGCAAUUAUUUGAAUAAUAAAUAACCACAAAAUAACAUUGUCAAAGUUAAAUUAUAUGCAUAGUAUUAAUGUUAAACUAUGUCAUUACUUCUUCUACAGUGACCCCAUCCAUGUUUAGCUCUAACUGUUCUUCGGUUAUUGUGCUCGUAUUAUCACCAUAAUCGGUAUUUAGCUUGCUCUUUGGUGGGAACUCCUACAUUAUAUAUAACAAGUAAUACUGAAAUUAAGAUUGAAAAUAUAGUAUGUAAAGUGGACAAAAUAGAGUUUAAUUUUGUGUUUGUAAAGAAAUCGUUAAACUAUUAAGUUUACCUGAAUUCUUUUUAUAAUGUGUGGAUUCACACCAGCAAUCAUCUCCCUUGCAAAUUCUUCAUCAGUCAUCCACGCAGACUGAUUAACUGCUCAAAAUAAGAGCAUUGCAAAUGAUCUGUAAUAUUUUUAUUUAUUCUAUGAAAAUAUAUUGCUAGGACUAACUAAUAGAUACCUUGAAUCACUUUAGGCGGUGGAAACUUUAGGGCCGAUUCACCAUCAGUUCGGAAGAGUUCCUUGAAAAAUGGUAUGGGGCUAAGUUUGCUAAGUAUACUAGUAGGUAAUUUAAUCCCACCAUCAUAAAAUGAUCGCACAUCAUCAAAGCUAUUAAAUUCUGGCUUAUUGAGUUGUAAUGUAAUUGCAGAUUGUAAUUGAGGUAUGAAACUUUGAGAAGCUGAUUUGAGUAUGUAAACAAGAAAAUCUGAAGACUUCAAGUGACCAAAUGCUUCAUCUCUUGGAACGUAAACAAAGUCGUCCCGUCUCUCACUUUUAGGAUCUGUUCACAUACAAAAUUGAAGACACGCAUUAGCAAGUACUAGCAAAAAGAUCGAUAACUUUAAAGUCAUAAUAGAGAAAAUGUUUUGAUCACAGCACCAUUAAUUUAAUAUGGAACUUUAAAAUUAUAACCUUUUUUAGCUGGUUUCCUGCCGGUUCUGCCCCUUCGAGGGUAAGGCAAGGUGUCGGAUCCUCCAAUAACGGGACGAGCCAAGUGUGCGUACUUGUCAGGAUCACCCAAGUCAUUGUAAACAUCGUAGUCAUAGAUUCUAUCGUGUUCCUUGCGCUGACCCGUUCCAUCUCCUCUUAAAGUCUUCAAUUCUUCUUCUCUAUAGUAGACUAAUGGAGCUGGUGUUUCACUUGGAAGGUAUGUCUAUAUUUUUAUUUAUUUGAUGGUGUAAGAUUUCAGGAAAUAUAGUUCAUAUUUAAAGGUCUUGCUAACAAGUGCCCUAAUGUUAAGAUUAAAAUAUUGAAACCAGUUGAUAGCUUUCAUGUAGAAAAAAUUGUUUUUUGAUGUUCCAAUGUGUUAACAUUUCACUAUAUUUAACAUGCACGAUAAAUAUGGUAUAUUCAUUACCUUGUUGGCGAAGAAGAUGCGUUUCGUUUUAUACUUGUCAGCACUGUAAAUCCAUGAGUUGCAUACAAAGUUGAUGGUUCCAUGGUUUGGAAUAUCUUCAAGUGUCAAACUUACAAGGAAGAAUUCUCGUGUCAUGUUACUCUCAAUAUAAAAUGCUCCUGGAACUCCCAUGUCACUAUUCCAUUCAAAAUGAAUAUCAUAUGCAGACUGUCCUGCUCCCAAAAUUGGCAUGGAAGUAACAAAACCUUCAAUAAAUGUUUUCUCUCCGACUUUCCCUUUUCCGCUUCCUACAAAUAUGUUACAAGUUUGAUUUACAAUUUCAGCAAUGAUAAUACUCCCUCCGUCUCACAUCAGGUGUCACAUUUGAGUUUUACACAAUUAUUAAAAAAAUGAUUAAUAAUUUUGAUUUUAAUGAUAAAUAUGUAUCAUUUACUAACAUACUUUUAUUAAUUAUAAUUAGUGGAAUAUUUUUAAAUGAUUCAAAUACAAUAGAUACAGAUAUGUUAAAAGAAAAUAAUAAUAAAUAUUGUAUUAUUAGUGUUAUAAAAGGGACAAAUAAAUUAAGAAAAAAAACAUAUAAUUUAAGACGGAGGGGAAAAAACAUCUAAUUUGAAACGGGGGAGUAACAUUCAAGAUUAAUUUAUGUCAAAGUAACAAAUUACUCUUUUUGUGCCAAAAAAAUAUUAAUUCUUUCCACCUGAAUAAAGUGUUUUAUAUAGGAGUUGAUAGUUGAUUAUAUCUUUCAUGCUAUAAAUAAGUUUUUGGUCCCUUUAAAUAUCUCAAAUUUCAGUUUUUAUAGUUCAAAAUAUUUUCAGCAAAAUUUGGGUUUGCUAAAAAUAACUUAGAAGGAAAAACUUGCCAAAUUGUUUUAGAGAGACUAUAUAUAAAAUUUUAGAUAUUUAUACAGUAUCCCUAAAAAAAAAAAGAAAUUUAUACGGUAGAAUUAUUUUUUUUAACCCAUUUUGUAAUGAUAAAACAAAAGGGAAACUGAAUUGAAUCUUAUGGACUAAGGGUCAAAUAAUAGAGGAAAAAAAAAAUCAAAUUAUUGAUAAGUAUUAAUAAAAAAAUUAAACCUCACAAAGAUUAAUUUAAUGUAUCAAACUAAUAACUGAAGACUAACAUAUCAUAUGAUUUUCUAUGUAAAAUGUUACCAGAUCGAAAAUCAUAUGAUAUGUUAAUGAGGUAAAUCAAGACUAACUUCUGAUGUGUGUGUAUAAACUUCAAUUCAUUUGUAAACUUUAUUAAUGUUUACUCGUUAAAGCGUUAUUGAGCAGCGCAACACUGUCCAAAUACUAUAUGUGUUCAGUGUUGUAAAUUUAUGACGAGCAUUAUGUAGUCUUAGAAUGAGAAAUGAAUAAGUUUAUUACCAUCGGCAGUGGUAGCACUGAUCAACCUGAGAGCCACAGAACGGCCGACAAAGGCCCCGGCGGUGUCAAUUAGAGUGCCGGCGACACCACCAACAGCCUUGAUUCCAGUUUUGACCAAAUUAGUGGUGUUUUUAGUUGCACCAUUGAUGGCAUUGAUGUCGAAAACAUUUGUUUGCAUCAACACAACUGUGCCCUUCACCUUUUGGCCUCUCUUAAGCAUACUUUUGAACCCUGAAUACAUCUUAAUUUGCUGCUUAAAUUUUUUUUUUUGCAAAUUAAUGAGAGAAAAGUUUGUGGCUGGCAAGAUGCAACCAUCUCAUUAUUUAUAGGGCCAAAAUUAAGCUUCUGAUUAAGAACAAAUAAUUUUUUUUUAAUUGAUUAAUUGAUCAUUGACAUCGUGCAAAAACUAUUAGUAAUAGGCUAAUCGUGGAAUAUAAAAUAAUGAUGUAUUUUAUUAUAGAAAGAAGAUAACAAUAUGUGUUACACAAUCAUAUUAUGACAAAUGGAUUUUUGAACUAUAGUUAAUUAGAUUCUAACGCGUACACCAAUAGUAAUAGGCUAAUCGUGCAAAAAUUAUUUCCUGAUACGAGGUCGUCUUUCUUUCCAUUGUUAAUAAUAUCCCUUCUCACAACUCACAUUCACAUACCGUAACCAUGGUUCAAUUUAAUAAUAUUAAUAAUAAGAGGAUGUACAAGAGUUAAUUAAACUAUGCAAGUGCAACUCCUAUAUGAUUUUAAGAUGAACAUAACUCAACUCUUACAAAUAUGAUUUGUAAGGUGAGGGGUUUCCCACUUAUAAUAAACUCAUUUUAUCUUCAUUUAAUAUAGAACUUUUACACUGCUCAUAUAUGUUUAAGAAUGGACGACAGGAGUGUGACUCGAGUUGUAUGAAAAUAGAUGAUCAAAUAGAUUUUAUUACGACUAUAAUACAUAAUGAAGGUUGUCCCCGUGAGCAUACUCAGUUGAUAGGGACAUACAUAAUUAUAUGCAGGGGUUGGGGUUUGAACCCAGACACCCCACUCAUUCACCUUGAAAAAGGUGAAUUCUAGCCACUAGAUUAAAAAAAAAAAAAUUAAGAAUUCAUUUUCAGGUAUAGUUUUAUCAUCAAGUGUGAAACUAUUAAUAUAUGCAAUGUUAAAAUAUAAAAUAAAUUUGUUUUUAUUUUUUAUCGCAAGAUUUAUCAUUAAACUUUAUUUAGUUGUUUUGACUCAUUCCUUUUUCUAUAUUUUAGCUGUUUUAGUUGAAUGUAGUUCCGUUAGAACUAAAAUUUAAGUUUUUUUUUUUUUUUUUUUUUGGAAAGUUCCAUGAAAAAGAAAUUAGUUUUUUUUUUUUCUUUUUUUCUAGUACUGCAAACUUUAAAAAUAUAAUUUUUCUGAAUGCUUUUGUAUGAAUGAAUUUUGAGGAGUGUUAGAAACACUCUCUUUUUAACACCUACAUUGAUAUUUAAUUUACUCUUUUAUUGAAUGAAUUCAUUGAUAUUUACUAUUUUAUUGAAUAAAUUAAAUGUGUAUUAUACAUUUUAAAAUGAGUUUCACAUAAAAUGGUGGAUUCCAUAGAUUUCGUCAAAUAAAAUAGUGGAUGUUAGAAAGAAUGUUCAACUCUAUGGUCUAUUCACUAAUAUUUUCACACCCCACAAAAUAUUUCUAAUACAAAAUAUUUUGUCAAGAUUGAAUAAACUUUCAAAAAAACUUGAGCUAAAUUUUCCAGAAGAAAAAACUGUUGAUUGGAAUACACGGGGAAUUUUUUUUUGGAAUUUUAGUCACGCUUCAAAUGUGGUUAAACUGCCGAAUUUGUAAAACGUAAUACUUGGAAAAAGAUUUCCAAAAUUUUAUCCAUAGUUGCUAAAAAUCCUGAGGAAAAUUCAAUGAAUCUGCCGUUUAGUAUCAUUUCAAGAAACUUUUAAUCAAUUGUAAAAAACUUUUACUUACCAGAAAUAUUUUGUCCGAGUUAAAGUCAAAUGACAAAAAGAUAAAAUUAACAAUAGAAUUUUUUAUAGUUUGUAGGGAGGAGAUGUAUGAAUGCAGGGGUAAAGAUUAAAGUGAAUUUUUAUUUAAACUAUAGAGCAAAAGCAAAAGCCCGCGACAUGUGCAAUGAGGCUAAGGCUUUGUAGAGCAAGAGUGAUUUUUUAUUUUUUCACAAGAGUUGUUAGGGCAAUGAGGACUACCCUACUCUUCCUACCCCACAAAGUAUAUAACAUGUCUAAUUUAUUUCCAACGACUUUAAAUUAUUGAGGAAUAGGAGUUUAGUCCUUUCAUCAUUUCAGUUUUUGGGAUCGAAAAAUUGAAAAAGUCAAAAUUUGAAUUUUUUUUUUAAUGUACUAGUUUUUCUAGUCCAUACGAAGAGAUACAUAUCAUGUGAAAUUCACACAUAAGACUGUAAGAUUAUAAGUUUGAAGCGGACAAAGAUGUUCAAACUAAAAAUAUUGAUAUUAGUCAUUGAAAUAGACCAUGCAGACAAGAAAAUAUUAGUUUUUGAAAGAAAGAAAAAACAAUGUUACGAGGAACUCAAAUUUUGAGUUUUUGAUAAAUUAAAAAAUUUGAAAAAAUGGGAGUAUUUGUUAACAUUUCCCUAUAAAUGAAAACGAUAAAACCAAACAUUUUAAAAGAAUAUAGUAGUAUGAUUUUGAGGGGUAGGUAGAAUAAUUCUUCUGGAGCGAUAAUGCUAUGAGAAGAGCAACCAAUUGCAUAUACUUGGAUAUGGUUUGGAAGGAGCACAUUUUCCAACUCAUUAAUUAUUUUAGAGAGUGACUAAUUUUUUUUUUUGUUAGACAUGGUUACACGUAAGUACAAGUUUAGUUAGGGGUGCCCUACUUUCGUGUGGUGAAUUCGAUGAUUUUUGACUUUGGAUCGCGUGUUCAAUUUCAUCAUUCUUGGAGAGAAUGAGACUUUUUAUCUUGCACAACUCUCGAGUCUCCUUCUAAUUAACUUUAUAAACUUAUUUUUGAUCAUAUCUUUGGGGCUUGCAUACUUAGAAGUGUUUGUUUUGAUUUGUAGUUUUUCUUUGGGCUUCGACCAUCUUUUGUACCAAAACAAGAGAUUACUUUUUGCGUCCAAUGAGUUUCUCACGCACCAUAUUUUUUUUUUAAUACCCUUUAGAUUCUAUAAUUCAAACAGCACUUCAGCUUAUAUAAUCUGAAAACUUGUAUUUCCAAUAUUUACUUAACAUCGCUGAUUUACAAAACAUCAUUGACAUAUACUAUUAAGAAAACAUAAUUGAAAAUGACCAAAAAUUGAAACAAAAAUGUAGAGACAUAAAAACGAAUUCAAAUUCUCAUUAUAUUAAUAGAUCAUAUCUUGAAAGUACAUUUACAUUAACAUCAAAGCAUAUUACGCAAAAUUAUUAAACAUCUAAUAUUAAACAUAUGGUGCAAGAAGAUCAUGUAGGGGUAAAAAGAAUAUGAUGGAGGGGGAAGGAGGUUGGAGUAAGGUUUUUUUUUUUUUUUUUUAGGAUGAAGGAUACUUUGAUGGUCAACCUUACACCUAAACAUAUCAAAUUUACAUCCAAACAUAUGGUACAAAUUUGCAUAGUGGCACCAUCUUCGUUGAUCGCUCAUACGAUCGCUAAAAUAAAAGAGUAACCUUUUUGUAUAAAAGGUCAACGAUGGAAGCAUAUUAAUUGUGGAAGAAAACAGAAGGAGAAAAUGUGAAGAAUGAGAAUUUGUGAAGGAUUGGUGGGUAUUUACAGGAGGAACUUGUGAAGGAUGAUGCAUAGAGUGUAUAAGACCAUUGAUUACGGUCAAAAAACGUGGUAAACCUGGUUCGACCGGUCAAUGAAACUGAUAUGACCAAAGAAAAACUUGUUCAAUGAGUUAGUCUUGCUGAGCUGAUUCGAACUCUGAACUAGUUCAUAUUAGGUAAUUUGAACUCAUCCCAGGAAUGUUAUUAUAUAAUCCGAACUAAUUUAAGAUUGUGUUAAAAUUCAUACCUUAUAGGGUGAGGGAGAGUUUAAAUUAUAAAUUAUAUAAUUCAAACCAGUUCAAUACAUGUUCUUUUUGUGAUCUACAUUGCACCAACAGUUUCCUUUUAUGUUUUUUUUCUUUUUCUGUGUUCUGGUGUUGUGCCUUAUUGGCCUUUUUUUCCAAAACUGUGACACCAAUUUUUUAGGGCGAGAAUAGAAUUUGAUUGAUUCUCUUCAUUAAAUUCAAUGGAUUUCAUAAAUUUCUAAUUUUAAGGUCACACGGCUAAUACAUAUAUAACACAAAGUGUCGUCAGAGUCUUUUGGCAUUGGUGUCAUACUAAUCUUGUUUGAAUUCUCUACUCCGAUUAUUUUCUAUUACUUUGAGAAUUCAUGAAGUCAUUCAUAGACCUAUUUAACACAUAAUUGAUGCCUGUGUUUUAUAUUUACACUUUAUUAAAACUGUUGUAAAAGAAAAAAAAAACAGACAUAAUCAUAUUUUCGUUUUAUAGUUACGGUUUGCAAGCAUGAAUUCUCACCUCCGUUGAUCUCUUUAAAUUAAUUCGAAGCUUCAAUUCAAAGUGGGUAGAAGAAAUUGUAAACAGAGCAAGAGGUUUAGCUUGGAAUUCAGAAAAAAGUCUUGAAGCUUCACCCUUUCAUCAAUUCUUGAUUUUUUCUUCAAUUUGAUUAAGGGGGAUUACCACUAAAUGACUGUUUUAUCUUUAUCUAUUUUAUGAGCAUGUUGUUGCUUUAUGAAAUUUUUAGAGAUUCUUAGUUUAUGCAAUCUAUUUUAUGUGUUUCUGUCAAUCGCACUUUUGCUGCUGCGUAUUUAUCUGGUUUUGUGUUUGUGUCAGUUUCUGCAUAAUAUCUGCAUUCGUUUAGGUUUCCUUGUAGUUUCUUGUUUAAUGCAAUUACUACAUAAUUGCAUUUCUAUUUUUCAUGUUUCAUUAGUUAAUGUUAUUGCUCUUUUUAGAUUUUAUUUCUGCAUAAUACAUUCUUUAAUGAUUUCUACUUGGCUACUGGUUAGAACUAACAAUUAAAAAUAAAAGAUCUUAAAUAAGGGCAGGUCUUUAAAAAAUACCAUUAUAAUUUUCAACGUAACAUGCUUCUCUAUUUUACAUCUCUUUGUUAUAUAUAUUCAAAUUGGUGAGGUAUUUGAGAUUCUAGAGGGUGAUAAAUGCCUUCCUGAAGAACAAUUGCAAAGCUUAUAAAUGCCUUCCUGAAGAACAAUUACAUCUCCAAAUGUGGUCUUCCUGGAAACUCAGGUGGCAGACAAAUUAAAUCUUGUUCUGGUUUUGCUUGCAUGCAAUGUAAAUUUGAAUCCCUCUAAUAUCUCUUUUGUUUAGAACCUUCUCCUUAUGUCUAUGGUUUUUUUUUUUUUUUAAAUUUAUAAAGAUGAGCAUAUUUCUUAUUCAAAUUUACUAAUUUAGAGAAGGGUUCAUUGGAUUUGAAACUUGUUAUCAUACUUAUGCAUAUGUCAUCUUCAUUUAUUUGUGUGGAUUUACAGGGUUGUAUAUGGAUUUGUUAUGUUUGCAACUUAUUUUCUUUUAUUUUCAAUAGGCUACAUAUGCUUCUUGUACAGUUUCUUUGGAAACAAAUAGGUGAUGGAAAGAAAUGGGAGCUGCAGAGAAGAACCGAUCGAUGGCGGAAUUUUCAUGGAAAUAUAUGUGCUCUACCUAAUGGUCAGUGUAACAACUUGAAGGCACCAUGAUUUCUAGUCAUAGUUUAAAAUUGUUUGAUGUAAAAGGUCGAAACUAAAGCAUUAAGGUAAAAUAUAAUUCACUUUAACUGUUAUUACUUUUUGGGUAUUAACAGCAUUGCAACUGUUAUAUAAUCUUAGGAAAUCAAUAUUGUACAUUACUUUUUCAGCACUAUCAUCUUUUUAUCAUGCCAUAUCGCACUACUAGGUUUGCACAAACCUUGGGGUCAUUAAUUCAUUUUUUCCAAACUUAAACUAAUGCAUUUCAUUAUCAUAUCACAUGUAUUACACAUACAAGAGGUAAACACAUCUUAAGAACUUCUUAUUGAUGUAUAGUAAAACAUAAAAGCAAGCAAACAAACAAACAUACAUAAUAACAAGACCAUGACGAUGAGGGAAUUUGACAACUUCACACAUUUUAUUCAGAGCAAAGCAACAUACCAUCAAAUUCUUUAGAUGGAGAUACUAUUAGGAAUGCCUCUGCAAGUCAAUCCUUUCUCACUAGAAGGAUAAAGCAGAGUGUAUGGCAUAUUCACAGGCCCGUAUCGGUUUCUCAAUGACUCAUCAUUGUUCCUUUCAAUGAGCUUUACCUCAAUUUCAGCCAACUUCCUUCCAAACCUCUUGAAAGCUUCUAAUGGCUGUGAAUCUGAAGUCCAAACCUCGCCUUCAUUUCUCUGUCCAAGGUAUUGCUCAUCAGAAGCAUGCCUUGAUAAGACCUCUAAGAUCGUAAGGUCAGUGAGGGUAUCAUUUUUUGGUGUGAUUGUCCUUAGAUACACCUUUUGAAAGUUCUUAGAAAGCUCGGCAUACUCAGCAGACCCUUUCUCAGGCAUGUGUCUCCGGCUUUUAGUUGGUCGGUUAAGUAUAUAUCCUCCAUAUGGAUAUUGACCAAAAUUAACAGCUGCAUGAUGUGCUGAAGCAAUCCAUAUGAGGAUAGUGCAAGCUUCAAUCAACUCUGUACAAGUUUGCAUCUUAAACCACCAUGUAGCAUUCUUCAAAUCACCAUGACCCACCUCUACAACUUCUCUCCAAAAUGCUUGCAGUUCAGAAUCUUGCGCAACAGCAGCAUCUGACGUGUAGUAGAAACUCACAUAUUCUUCAACCCAUGACUUGAUAGCAUCCCAUAUCUCUAGUCCAUCAGCAGCAUAAGGGUAGUCCUCUAUCAGAAGGCGAAUUCCAUGUGGGGAAGUUGGAUCCUCAACAGCCACUCCUCUAGAUAACAAGCAAGGAAGAUAUCAUUAAUAUAAAAAAUUAAAAAGCUUGAGAUCAGUAUCUAUUUAACCAAGAUUUUAAAUUGGUUGUAGUAUGAUCUUAGUUAUUCUAGCGAAACGCGGUAAAAUACAGUUGAUGUGGCCUCAACCAACGGUGUUUGGACAUAAAAAAACCUUGAUUUCUCGUCUUACAUUGUGGUUACUAACAUUUUUUCCAAUCCUUUUUUUUUACUAAUUAAUUUAUGUGCAGGAUCUAAUAUUUUGUAAGGUUACCUUUUCAGUAAAUCAUUAGGAAGACCGUGCUCUAUGAAAACCCAAUCCUUAUAUAAUAGAGCAGACAAUUCUAAAGAAUAACGUCCCAUCAAGAAUGUCGAUUCUAUAAUACCCUCUGCAUUAACCAAGACAUUCCUUGCAAGUGCAUUAAUGUUCAUUGUGUCACGAUAAUGUGGAAGUAGAAGUUUGUGAAUAGGGUGAACCACACUAAGAUGCCUAUUUGUUGCUAUGAUGAAUGGCUCAACAACAGCAUGAGUGUUCAACCUGUUACACAUGUAGAUAUUAAUGAAUUACUCAUAGAUUGAUGAAAUUAAAUACGUUUGAUUCUAGAAAAACUCAUCAACAUAAUUCGUACCAGUGGCUGACAAGUUGAUGAAAACAGGAGUCAUUUACAACAACGUAAGCUUUGGCAAGUAGCCAAAUAGAAGCUUCAACACCUUCACUUGCAGGCAAGUAAACAUUACUAACAGGACCAUAACUAUCUUCUUGAGGAUGUGGCUUACUUAGCUCAAUGGCCAAUGGCUUCAAAGUUCCAUCAUUUUGUAAGAAAAUGAAGGUUCUCGUAGCAUAUGCCUUUGUAUCAGUUGAGUUUAUUUUCCUCAAAUAUGGAAAUAUUGGGUCAUGGUGAUCAAGUAUGUAAAGCCUGUUGUUUUGGAUAGCCUAUUCAAAAAAAUAUAAUUUAGUCAUUGUAAUUAUUUGAAUCAUAAAUAACCACAAAAUAACAUUGGCAAAGAUGUAUAUUCAUGGUAUUAAUGUUAAACUAUGUCAUUACUUCUUCUACAGUGACCCCAUCCAUGUUUAGCUGUAACUGUUCUUCGGUUAUUGUGCUCGUAUUAUCACCGUAGAGUUGGGUAUCUAGCUUGCUCUUUGGUGGGAACUCCUACAAUAAAUAUAGAAAGUAAUAAUGAAGUUAACAAUUAAAAAUAGGAAAAUGUUAUUUCUAGCGAAGGAAAUAUGGCUGCUCCUAAUUCUUGAAGAUUUCGUGAUGCUAUCUUUCGGGAAAUAUGGUCAAAAUAAAAAUUAAAUUUUCUGUUCGCAAAGAAAUCGUUAAACUAUCAAGUUUACCUGAAGUCUUUUGAUUAUGUGUGGAUUCACACCAGCAAUCAUCUCCCUUGCAAAUUCUCCAUCAGUCAUCCAUGCAGACUGAUUAACUGCUCAAAAUAAGAGCAUUUCAAAUGAUCCGUGAUAUUUUUAUUUAUUCUAUGAAAAUAUAUUGCUAGGACUGAACAUGUGUUUCUAAUAGAUACCUUCAACCACUUUAGGUCGUGGAAACUUUAGGGCCGAUUCACCAUCAGUUCUGAGGAGUUCCUGGAACACUGGUAUGGGGCUAAUUUUGCUAAGUGCAUUAGUAGGUAAUUCAAUUCCACCAUGAUAUAAUGAACGGACAUCUUCAAAAGUGUUAAACUCUGGCUGAUUGAAUUGUAAUGUAAGUGCAGAUCGUAAUUGAGGUAUAACAUUUUGAGAUGCUGAUUUCAGUAUAUAAACAAGAAAGUCUGAAGACUUCAAGUGGCCAAAUGAUUCAUCUCUUGGAAUGUAAACAAAGUCGCUCCGACUCUCACUUUUAUCAUCUGUAACAUACAAAUAGAAGACAUUAGCAACAAGAUCAAUAUCUUUAAAAUCAUAUAGAGGAAAUGUUUUGAUCAUAGGACCUUUAACUUAAGAUAGAGCAUAAAGUUUAUCACCUUUUUUAGCAUGUUUCCUGCCGGUUCUCCCCCUUCGAGGGUAAGGCAAGUUAUUGGAUCCUCCAACAACGGGACGAGCCAAGCUUUCUUUCUUGUCAGGAUCACCCAAGUCAUUGUAAACAUCGUAGUCAUAGAUCCUAUCCGAUUCUUUGCGCUCACCCGUUCCAUCUCCUCUUAAAGUCUUCAAUUCUUCUUGUCUGUAGUAGACUAAUGGAGCUGGUGUUUCGCUUGGAAGGUACGUCUAUAUUUAUAUUUAUUUAUCGGUGUCAAAUUUUGAGAAAUAUAAUUUGUAUUAGCAUGUUAAAGAAAUAUGAUUUUUUUUCAUUACCUUGUUCGUAAAGAAGAUGCGUUUCGUUUUAUACUUUUUAGCAUUGUAAAUCCAUGAGUUGCAAACAAAGUUGAUGGUUCCAUGGAUGGGAAUAUCUUCAAGCGUCAAACUUACAAGGAAGAAUUCUCCUAGCAUGAAAUUUUCAAUAUAAAAUGCUCCUGGAAUUCCCAUCUCACUGUCCCAUUCAAAAUGAACAUCAAAUGCAGAUUGCCCUGCUCCCAAAAUUGGUAUGGAGGUAACAAGACCUUCUAAAUAUGUUUUUUUUCCCACUUUACCUUUUCCACUUCCUACAAAUAUGUCAUAAUGCUUAAUUUAUGUCAAUAUAAACAACUUAAUCUUUUCUUAUGCUAAGUGCUAAAUUUAUGUUCACCCAAGUUGCUUAGAUUAUAUCAAAGUGAAAUAAUUCCUAAUUUCCUACAUAUAUUUUAGUAAUAGUUGAUUUAUUAUUUAAAAUAAGUUACGUCAAAGUGAUAAUCACAAAAAUAAAAAUAAAAAUUUAUAAUAAAACAAAAGGGAAAAUAAAUUGAAUCUUAAUGGACUCAGGAUCAAAUUCUUGUAAAAAUUAAAAUAUAAAGACAAUUUUCAUUUGGAUCCUUUGUAAAGCCAUUCAUUUAAAAACGAUAAACUUUGAAACUUAUAUCACCUGCAGAUUUAAAAAAUGGUGAGGCCUAGGUUGCCUUUGAAAACUCAUGGGCAAUUUACCUAAACCAAUCAAAAGUUUUCAUGUGUACUCCAUUAGAAUAAUAACAUUUAUUAUUUUAUUUUGCAAAAAUUUAGCAAGUAUUUUAUUAUUUGCAUAUUCACCCCAUCUUAAAUUAAUGAUUUUUUACAAUUUAAACCAUCACAAUAAUUAAAUUUCACCUCUAAUUCAAUCACUCUCCAAACCUCUUUUUUAGCUUGGCAAAAAUCAUUAAAAAUUAAAAUUAUCACCCCUGAGAAUCAAACCUGGAUGCUCCCACCUAUUUAAAAUGUACUCUGGAACCACUUGAUCAAUACAUUUUUUAUGAAAUAAUUUGGAAUUCAAAAUUAUGUUAUUAGUGAGCAAAUUAUUUUAUUUUUAUUUGCAGUGCCUUUAUAACCUAGCUUUAGUGAGAAAAAAAAAUCAUUUUAUGUGUGUAUAAUUAUGAAGUAGUAAAUUUUUCUUAAGAAAAAUGAAUUCAUUCAAUUGAUUUUUUAUAUUUUAAAUUUCAUUCUUUUUUAUAAAUUCAUACUUUUAUAUAGAUUCGAUGACCUACGACAAUGUUUCAUUUGUGAUCCACCGAAUUAUGAUUUAUUUUAGGUACUAUUUUUCAUUUGGAUCAGAUAAAUUGUUUAAAGGUAAUAAUUUUUUUUUUUGCAAGGUCUUAUAAGUUAUAACCUAGCUUUAGUAAAAAAAAUCAUUUUAUAUGUGUAUAUUUAUGAAAUAGUAAAUCUUUCUUAAAAAAAAUAAUUCAUUCAAUUGAUUUUUUAUAUUUUAAAUAUCAUUCUUUUAUAUAAAUUUAUAAUUUUAUAUAGAUUCGAUGAACUACAACAUUGUUUCAUUUGUGAUCAAACGAAUUAUGAUUUAUUUUAGGUACUAUCUUUCAUUUUGAUCAGAUAAAUUGUUCAAAGGUAUUAUUAUUAUUAUUUUUUUUGCAGUGUCUUAUAAGUUAUAACCCAGCUUUAGUAUAAAAAAAAUAAAUCAUUUUAUAUGUGUAUAUUUAUGAAAUAGUAAAUAUUUCUUAAAAAAAAAAAAAUGAAUUCAUUCAAUUGAUUUUUUUUAUAUUUUAAAUAUCAUCCUUUUAUAUAAAUUCAUACUUUUAUAUAGAUUCGAUGACUGAUGGGAUAAAACCGCAAGUGCACGAUUCUACCAGAAUUCAGGGCAUUACAAACGCAACAUGUGGCAUAAAAACAUUACUUUAUAUGUAUAUACUAUUGAUUUUCCUGUUCAUUUAAAAUAUUUUAUUUGCUUAAUUGCACUUUUGGACCCCUAUCUUUUCAAAAGUUGCGGUUAUGGAUCCCUAACUAAUUUAAAUACAAAACAGUCCCCUAUGUUUUGAUUCUUUAGCAGUUUUGGACCCCCAAGGCAAAAAAAAAAAAAUUUGACAAGUGGCACCUCACUUAGGGUGCCACGUCAGCGUUGACCGAGUCAACAAUGAAUUGGGGUCCAAAAUUGGCAAAAAAUCAGAACAUAGGGGGCUGUUUUGUAUUUAAAUUAGUUAGGGGUCCAUAAUCGCAACUUUUGAAAAGAUAGGGGUCCAAAAGUGCAAUUAAGCCUAUUUUAUUUACUAUUUUAUCCUUUAAUAAUAUUAUAUUAAAUUUGAAUUAGAAAAAUGAAAUCUCAUUAAAAUAGGAAAUAUACCACUACAACAGGAACAAUACUAUAUAUACUUUUUUUUUUUUUUUUUACAAAAUACUAUAUAUACUAUAUAUGAAGGGAAUAGAGACUUUGGGCUGAAUUUUUUAUAAUUUCAAUUAUACCCUUUAAACAAAUUUUCCUAUAUUAAUGUUCCAUUCUUGGUGGUAUUAAAAAAAGAUAAGAAUUUAUAUUAUAUUUGUUAAACUACUGUGUUGUUGUGGUAAAAGAUAAACAUGAUUUUUUUGGGUUUGUUACAAUUUUAAUUUCACAAAUAUUUGUACUUAUAAUUUUAAUCAAAAUCAAAAUUUCAUAUAAAAUACCGUUCAUAAUUUACACAUGUCACGUGCCCGUUUUUUCGCUAGUUAUAUAUAGUAUUUAUACUAUAUAUAAAGAAAACUAUCUCUUUCAGCACUUUUGGACAGGAUUUUUCUUUCCAAAAAUACCCUUAAUUUUUAAUACAAACAACACAUGUAACAAAUAAAUAAGAAUAAAUUUAAAUAUUAAAACAAAUGUAACAAACACGAUAUGUGUGUUUGGUUUUUUUCCUUUAUCAUUUAAAAAGUGUAACAAACUAUAUGAGUAUAUUUAAUAUUUGCUUUUUUUAUUAUCCCAAUUAUACCAUUAAAACAAAAUCCAUAAUCAUCAAUCAACAACAAGAAGAUCCAACAUUUUAAAAAAUAAAUAGAUAAAUUUAAAGGAAUUUUUUUAAGAUUCUUAUGUUGUUACAUAAUAUUUGGACAAGAUUCUAAUUCUCAUUAAUCUUUUCUCCCACGUCAAGAAUAUCUCUUUGCUUCUUCUGAUUCAUAUUCAUUCAUUCCUUAUUAUUCUAAUUUUUAACUCAAUUCAUCUUCCUAUAGAUUUGCAUCGUUUUUGCUGAACCAAGAAGGACUGUUAAGUAGAAGAAUUCCAGAAUCAUAGAUGUAAUCACAAUAGUUCUCAAUGACAAUGCUUAAAAAAAAUUGAUUUUUUUCCCAAUCUAUCUCUCUCAAUCCCGAUCUACUCUCUAUCCCCUUAAACCCUUUUUUCCUAAACUAUUCCUUACCUCUCAUGCUCUCUCUUCUCCAUCGGAUACCAUUUCCCCUUCUAUCAUCUUCAUUGCAUUCUCCUCUUUCUCUUUCAUUUUUGACUUCUCAAUAAAAAAUCAAUCGCAGCUUCAAUUUUUUAUUGUCGAAUUCGAAUUCGAAUUUGGGGUGCGUGGGUUCGAUUGAGAGAGAUAGGGAUCGAGAUGAUGGAUAUAUAGACAACGGUGUUGAUGGUGGUUUUGAAAAAGAGGUUUUGAUGGUGGUUAUCUGGAUUUUCUCUGGAUUUUUUUUUAUGAAGGUGAUGAAUGAGGGAAAGAAAGAAGAUGAAGUAUGGGAUAUAAUGCUAGAUGUUGUUGGUUCACAGUAAGAUACAGUGGACAUGCAUGAUCUAACAAUCUUUCUUUAUUAAAAAAGAUCAAACGGUUUAUAUUAAAAAAAAUAAUAGGAUCUAUAGUGGACCAGGGGGUUCACCAUAGAUAUUUGAGGUUAAAGUUAAUUUAUUUGCAAACUGUGGGAAAAGUGAAGGACUAAAACGUGAGUUUUAUUAAUUGUGAGACCAAAAUAAAACCAAAGAAUUAAAUAAGCCUUUUUUUUUACUAAAGCUAAGUUAUAACUUAUAAGACAUUGCAAAAAAAAAAAAUUAAUACCUUUAAACAAUUUAUCUGAUCCAAAUGAAAAAUAUUAUCUAAAAUAAAUCAUAAUUUGGUUGAUCACAAAUGAAACAUUGUUGUAGUUCAUCGAAUCUAUAUAAAAGUAUGAAUUUAUAUAAAAGAAAGAUAUUUACAAUAUAAAAAAUCAAUUGAAUGAAUUUAUUAUUAUUUUUUAAGAAAGAUUUACUAUUUCAUAAAUAUACACACAUAAAAUGAUUAUUAUUAUUUUUACUAAAGUUAAAUUAUAAGUCACUGCAAAAAAAAAAAUAAAAAAAAUUGCUCACUAAUAACAUAUUUUUGCAUUCCAAUUUAAUUCAUAAAAAAUGUAUUGGUCAAGUGGUUUGGGAAAACAUUUCAAAUAAGUGGGUGCAUUUAAGUUCGAUUCCCACGAGUGAUAAUUUUAAUUUUUAAUGAUUUUUGCCAAAUUGUUCAACUAAAUUUGAAUGAAUGCAUGAUCUUUGGCAUUAAAUUCCAAAUUUGAUAAAAAAAAAAGAGAGUGAUUGGAUUAGAGGAGAAAUUUAAUUAUUGUGAUGGUUUAAAUUGUAAAAAAUCAUUAAUUUAAGAUGGGGUGAAUAUGCAAAUAAUAAAAUACAUGCUAAAUUUGUGCAAAAUAAAAUAAUAAAUAUUAUUAUUCUAAUGGAGUACAAAUGGAAAAUUUUGAUUGGUUUGGGUAAAUUGUCCAUGAGUUUUUAAAGGUAAUUUAGAAAAAACCUUAAAAAAUUGGUCUGUUACUUGUUUAGCGUACAAUUUAGCGACCGAUUUCAAAGUUUGGUAAAAUGCAAAGUUCACUAAAAUUGUGAAAAUGCUACCACGUUUUUUUCCCCCUCAUCUCAAUUAUCUACUGAUGUGAAAUGUUAUAUGUUAUUAGGAAUUCUCUCAGGUACUUAUGGGUCUGUUUGGUUAACCCCAAAAAAGAGCUUUUAGCUUCUAGCUUAUAGCUUAUAAGCUCGUUUGAUAAAAAAAACUCUGUUUGGUAACACUUUUUUACCAUGAGCUUAUAGCUUAUUUCACGAGCUUAUAAGCUAUUUUUCAGAAGCUAUUCCAAGUAGCGUUUGAGCUUAUAGCUUAUAGCUUCUCACUUUUUCUUCCAAUUUUACCCUUAUUAUUUCAUUUAAAUUGUAUUUUUAUCCAUUAUAAUUUUUAUAAUAAGCUACGUAAUAAAGACUACUAUCCCUUUAUUCCAAUUUUUGUAUAUAUAUCAGCUGGCCUUUUUUUUUUUUUUUGAAAAAAUAUAUACCUUCGUUUUUUUUUUACGAAACAAAAUAUUAUUAUUCUAUUAGUGUUACUUUUUUUUUUUUUUUGAGAUAAGUGUUAUUUUCUUUAUUCUCUGUUAUUAUUAUUACUCUAUUAGUGCUACUUUUUUUUUUUGUUUUUGAGGUAAAUGUUAUUUUUUUUAUAAAGUGGAAACACUUAAAUGAUAAUAAAUAUAAGAUAAAAUUUUAGUGAAUAAAAUUUAAUUUAAUUUAUAAUACAUAGGAUAUAUUAAAUUAAUAAAUUUAAAGUAUUUUUUUAAAGAAAAAUUAGUUUACAAAAUUACAAAUACUUAAAUUAAUGAUAUAAUUUUUAUUAUGAAUUAAGAAUACCCUUUAUGUCAUUUUACAUUUAUCAGCUAGUUGAACCGCUAUUUUUACCAAACACUUCAGUUAGCUUAUCAGCUAUAAGCUAUCAGCUAGCUUAUCAGCUAAAAGCUAUCAGCUAACUUAUCAAUUAUCCGCUAUUUUUACUAAACAGAGCCUAUGUCCACCGAUGUGAAAGGCAAACCAAAGUUUACUAAAAUUUCAAAAUUGUCACUGUGUGCAUCUUUCCCAUUAGGUAUUUUCUGUGCCGAUGUGAAAACCCCUGUUGUAAGAUGUAUAUUUUCUAGUAGUGGUUAUGCCAGCUUGUAGCCUUAGAUCUCUCCAAGGAAGAAAAAAGCUACUAAAAAAACUUGAAUUAGUAAGAAGAACUUUAGAGGAAAAAAAUCUCCCUAAAUUUAGUGACCAAAGUAUAGGGAAAAAAAAUAUUUUUCCAUCACUAAUUUUCGUCCCAAUUUUAUUUGUUUUAUUUUUAUAGUGAAAAUUCUACCUCAUAUAUUAACAAAAGAAUAAAGUUUAAAGGAUCAUCAAAUCAUCAGCACAUUAUAUCUUCACCUAAAAUCAUAAGACACUUACUAUAUGAAUCACUUUUUAUAUGGCAUUUGUUAAGAUAGACUCAUUUAAUUUUUAGAAGUACUACUUUAACAAGUUAAAACUAAAAUAAUAUAUAAAACAAGGGUUUAAGUUAGCAACUUUUGCAGGCAUUUGUUAGAAUAUAUUCACUCAUUUUUUUAAGGGACAUCCACUCAUUUUUUUUUUAGAAGGACUAUAUGUUAGAAGUGAUAAUGAAAAAUUUGUUAAUUAUACACACAGUAAGGUGCAUGUUGCUAAAAUACUCCAAAAAGCUUCCCCCAAACACAUAUUUCAAGGUGCAAAGUUCAAAUUCUUUUAGGAGAGUUGUAAAAUGAUCAUUAGUGUCGAGUAGUAGUAUGAAAGAUUAAGAAGUAAUUACCAUCAACAUUGGUAGCACUAAUCAACCUGAGAGCCACUGAACGGCCAAAGGAGGAAGUGUAGGUAUCAAUUAUAGAGCUAGUGAUAUCACCAACAACAUUGAAUCCACCUUUGAUUAAACCAGUGGCACUUUGAGCUGCAGUGAUUUCGUUGAUAUCCAAUACAUUCUUAUGCAUCAAUAUCACUGUCCCCUUCACCUUUUGGCCUCUGUUAAAGAUACUUUUCACCCCUGAAUACAUCUUAGUAAUUUACUGCUUUUAAUUUUGUAUUCUUUUGCAAAUUAAUGAAAGAAAAGUUUGUGGUUUGCAUGUUGCAACCAUCUCAUUAUUUAUAGGGCCAAAUUAAUGUUCUGAUUCAAAACUAUAUUAUUUUUUUAGAGACUGAUUCAAAUCAUAUGAGUCAAUGUUCUUUCCAUAUUUUAUCCUCAUCCAAAAUAAUUGAUCUACUUGUAAAAAAAAAACAUUUACCAAAAUAAUUUAUCUUUUUCAAUUUGCAUGCAACAUUAACGACUUCUUUUCUACUGUACAAUGGAAUUAAUAUCAUCAAUUUCAACUCAAUAUCUUCAAUUUUUUAUAUAUAUGGUAAAAGUUAAUACAUGAUAAAAGUACUUCAUUAAAAGCAAUCUUCUCUUUACUUUUAACAUAGGUGCAGUUUUUUUUUUUGAAUGAACAUAGGUGCAGUGUUAAAAAAAAAUGGAGUAUUCCUUAAACGAAUUAGUUGUCUUUUUUUAUGUGACUAAAAUGAAGUCGUCUUUGUUUAAACAUACUCUUCUCACAGAAGAUAACCAUGGUUCAGUGCAAUAAUAAUAAUAAUAAUAAUAAUAUUAGCAAGAGGACGUUGAGGACUAUAAUUUGAGAGGUAGGUAGGCGAAUUUACCGGGGCAAUAAUGCAAUGAGAAGAGCACCCAAUUGCAGUGCUUGGCCCCAAAGAUGUUCAAAACUAGACUAUUAGUGUGUGAAGAGAAAAACAAAAGAAGAAAAACAUGAUUUCUCAGUAUGUCCAGUUAUAUUCAAAUUUGUUAUAAUACAAUGUCAAUUGUUGAUUGAAACUAGAGAUUAGUUCAGGUAGCAGAUGAUGUCCUCGAUUAUGAUUCUCUUUCUUUGCACGAUUGACGUUGAGGAAAGAAUUUUCUCCCUCAGCUACGGGUUCCUGAAAUUAUUUAGUAAAAUGUUAAAUAGAGUUGUGUUUUUGGCCAAGAAGUGUAUGUAAACUAAGAUAAAGAGAUAAUGAUAAAUGGAUAAAUUAGCGAAAAAAAUAGCUUGUGUUUGAUUGUGUGUUGACUGUUAACUCGGUCUAAAGUCUUCAAGGUUGAUGUACUAGCCAAUAGACUCGAGAAAGAAUCGACCAACCCUCUUUCGGCUAAAAUAACACUUGCAUAACCUUCUAUCGGCUCGGAAAAUUCUCCCAACCAAAUGUCAUUUUGUGUUGCGUUAUCACUUGAAUUUCGAGUGAUGAGAUGACGCAACGUAAUUGAAAUGGUUACGAACAAUAUCAUCAUUACGUCAUAAAAGUAGAAAAGUAGUCGUUGGGAUGAAUCAAUUUGAGAUCUUUUGUGUAAAAGUAUUUCAUUACUCUCAUUUUUUUUUGGGUAUAAUUACUCUCAUUUUAACGUCUUCUACUUAUAUAUAUGAUUAAAUUUUGAUACAUUAAUAUGAGAAGAGUACUUUAUUAAAAAUAAUUUUAUCUCUCUUUCAUUUAUACAUUGUUCUUCAUCCAUGUGAAUUAGUUAACUAAAUCGGUUAUUUAUGAGGGAGAGAGUAUUUUUCUUUUGAACUAUAAUAUUUAUUUUGUGUAAACCUUCUGAUUUUGGGAAAAUAAACCGCUUUUUUUUUUUUAAAUAAAACUCUAAACUCCAGUUUUCAGUACGUAGGUAAGUUUGAAAUCAUCAAUUGAUCAUUGACAUGCAAAAACUAUUAGCAUGAGGCUAAGCGUGGCAGAUAAAAUAACAAUGAAUUUGUUUAAAAAACAGUAAUAAAGUACUGAAGGUAAAAUACUUUAUCAUAAAAAAAUAUAAUAAUAAUAUAUGUUGAUUGAUCAUAUUUUGACAAAUAGAUCUAUUGAGCUAUUGUUAAUUACAUUCUUACGUGUAUACAAAUAAAAAUAUUCCCUGUACGAGGUUGUCUUUUUUGUUUUUGAUUUUGAUGGUACGAGGUCGUCUUUCUUUCUUUUGUUUAAACAUACUACUUUUCUCACAUAAGGUAACCAUGGUUCAAUGUAAUAAUAUCAAUAAUUGUACAAGAGUUAAUUUAACCGUGCGAUUAUUGCACAUUACGAUGCUCUCCAUUUUCAAUUGUCACUAUUUACUUGUUAACAAAAUUAAAAAUAGUAGAAGUAGGACUAUACUAGAUUCAAUAAUAUUUUAACUUUUAAAAAAUUAAAUUCAUUAGUUUUGACCGUUUCCUAAUACAAUAUAUUGAUAAAUCCUUAAUCAAUGUCUUAAAUACACUUUUUAGUAUUUUUCUUAAAUUAAAUAGUAGGUCAUAUCAGAUUUUUAAAAUGUCACAUUCAAACCUAAAUAAUAAACCUACGACACGCCACAUGCUAGACAUUGAUCUUAAAAAUUUUGGUAGAUUAGACUUAGAUUUUGCAAAAUUUAGUUCGGCCUAACCUAUUAUAUUUUGAAGAUUGCUCUAAUCCAUGUCCUAAUUAUUCAUCCCAUUAAUUCAGCUGUUCAAUAUUUUUCAACGGCAAUUACUGCUACGGGCAUUUUUAAGACCAGUUCAUUUACUUUUUAAAUUGUUUUAAUAGCAAUUUUCAUUAUUAUAUGUACCCCAUAUACGCUUCCCAUGACGUCCAACGCUGACAGCAGCAUGCAAGUGCACUUCACGUGAUCUUGUUCCUUAUUGCAUAGUUAGUUUUUUAUUUUCUAAUUUUACUAUACCGAACUCUAACAUUUUCACACUCAAAGUUCUUGCCCUGUCUCCCGUUUUUUUCUUUUCUUUUUUUAACAAAAACAACUUAUAUAUUUUCAUUCAUCAAAUCAAAUUGAAAGUAAUACAAGAUGGAAUUAAAUAAAAGAUAUGAUGCCGAAUAUACAUAGAUGUGAUAUAAGAUAGAAUAACGAGCAUAUAAUUAUAACACUUAAUAAUAUAUGAGUGACAUAAUUUGUUUGUGUUCAAGCUAAACUCAUCUUAAAGUUUUGAAACUGUUCUACUAAUAAUUUAACUGUGCGAUUGCGCAUUACGAUGCCCUCCAUUUUCAAUUGUGACUAUUUCCUUCAUCGCUCAUAUGAAUUAGCUGUUAAAAGGUAGGUCGUAUCAGACUUUCAAAAUGUCAUAUUUAAACCUAAAAAAUAAAUUUAUGAUAGACCGCAUGCUAGAUACAGGCCUUAAAUUUUUUAACAGAUUAUCCUUAAGUCUUGCAAAAUUUAGUUCGACCUGCCUAUUUCAAAAAUUGCUCAAAUCUAUUUCAUAAUUGUUCAUUCGCUUAAUUCAUUGGAAGUUAACUGUUGCUCGAUAUUUUUCAGCGGCAGUUCAGAUCGGUUUAUUCAUUUUUUAAGUUGAUGUAAAUAGAAAUAUGUACCCCAUAUUCGCUUCCCAUGACGUCCAAUGCUGAUAGAAGCAGCAUGCAAGUGCAAGUGUAUUAUAUUACCGUAUAGUCGCUUGAAAUGAAACCACACACUUCACGUGAUCUUAUUCUUUAUUGCAUUCGUUUUUUCUUCACUAAUUUUACUAUCCCAAAACUCUAACCUUUUCACACUCAAAGUUCUUGCCCUCUCUCCCUCUUUUUUGUUUGACCAAAAGCAACUUAUAUUUUUUCAUUCAUCAAAUCAAAUUGAAAGUAAUAUAAGAUAAAAUUAAAUAAAAGAUAUGAUAACAAGCAUACGAUUUUAACACCCUUAAUAAUAUAUGAGUGACAUAAUUUGUUUGUGUUCUUGCCAAAUUUAUCUUAAAGUUUGGAAAUUGUUCUACUUAUAUCUACAAUUGGACAAAAUACCGUCAAACUUCGAUUGAUUGCUAGAAUUAUCCAUGAUGUCUUCUGCCACUAACUUACAAUCUAGUUCAAUUUUCACGGUUGAUAAUCCUAAUUCUCGAACAUUCAUAGUGAUAUGUCCGGUGAAGAUGAGAUAAAUAUGGGGGUGGUUCUCUCCGGGAACUGCAUUUGUUCUCCGGAAAUUUUUCUUUAAGUUGUAAAUAGAUCAUUUAAGUUGUAUAUUUAUCGCACUCUUAUCCUUUUAAAGAUUUGUUUGAAACUUAAAAACUUAAAAAACUUCAUAUAGGUGUAUUAAAUUAACAAUUUAAAAGAUCUAUUUGAAUUUUUUAAAAAAAAAAAAACAAAAAAACUUAAAGGACAUAUUUAAACCUUAAAAAACUUAACUGAUCAACCUAAUAUUUUUGUCAAACUCAUAAAAAAGCGUUCAUGGCAUACGGUGUUUUCCUUCCAUAAAAAUAAAAAAUAAAAAAUAUCUGAAUGUAUUUUUGUUUUACAAAACUCACAUGGCAUGUUGUAGGAGAUUUGAGAUGUGUGUGGGGGUGGGUGUAAAAUUCCAUAAACCUGAUAAAUCAAAAUUGUUAAAAGUGAGAGUAAAUUGGAAUGGAAAAUUUAAAAAUUGUGGAAGUGGGGAACCACGUAAAAAUAAACUUUUCCAACUUAAACCAUAUGAUAAUUUCUUAAUCUGUCCUCUCAUGUUAUCAGCAGUACGCUUUUAAUAGUGUUUUAUAUUUGAAAUAUACUGCCAGAAAUACAUUUAUGAUAAUAUAAAUUGAUAGAUUUAAGCAAUAUAAGAAGAUUCAUAAAUUAUCAAAACAUGCGCAAUGCUAAAGCCCACAACAUGCAGAUGCACAAAGGAGGAUUCGAUUUGUAGUGCAAAGUUGUUGGGGCAAUGAAAAUCGGAUUUAAUUUGUAUGUAUAGAUAGUAUAAAACUUGUUUACACAUGUAUCAAAUCAAAUUACGCCAUUAAAAUAUUUAUGGAGAUAUUUAAACAAUUCACUUAUAAAAACGACACUUUAUUCUAAUUUGAUUGGAUGGAUAUAUAAAAAGAAAUUACACUACUUGUUCAGAAAAAAAAAAAGAAAUUACACUAUCGGUGCAUAGAAAUGACACUCAUGAAAAUUACCCUUCCUACCAAACAGUAUAUAAAGUCUCUAUAUUAUUGCCAACAACCAUAAAUUAUUGAGGAGGUAGAGGUUAGCCAUUUUAGCACGUUUGUGUUAUUGAGAUAACAAAAUUGAAAAAAGUCAAAAAUUGAGUUAUUUAAAAUGUAGUAGAUUUUGAAAGAAAGAAAAAAAGUUCCAAUGAACUCAAAUUUUUGAGUUUUUGAGAUAACCAAUUAAAAUUGUUCUUGGGACGUAAAACACGCUGAGUAUUAGGGGUGUUCAAAUCCAUACCAAUCCAAAAUAAAACCGCAAACUGAUCCAAAAAAACCGAAAACCGCAAAAAACCAAAUAUUUUUGGAUGUGUUUGGAUGUUGUUUUGGAAAAACCGCUAUGAUCGGAUCGGAUUUCGGAUUGCGUUUUCAAAACCAAACCGAACCGCAAAAGUAAAUUUUUAUACUUAUUUAUUAUUUUAUUAGUAUUAUAUAUUGCACUAAUAUAUUGCUUAUUGAUAUUUAAUCUUAUAUAUUGCAUUAAUUUAAUCUAUAUUAUUACUACUUCAUCUAUUUCAAAUAUAAUCAAUCAUUUUUAUUGUGUAAUGUUAACUUUUUAAAUAAAUUUGUGUCAUAUUUUGUAUCAAACCUAUUAUUUUAUUGUGUAUGAGUAAUAUUAAUAUUUAAAAAAAAAAUUACAUGUUACACUUUGGAUAUCCAAAAACCGAUCCAAAUUAAACCGCAUAUAUUUGGAUCGGAUCGGUUCGGAUUUUUUUAACAUAAUCAUCCAAACCGAACCGAACCGCACGUGAUUUUUAUUUUGGAUCGGUUGAUUUUUAACCUCAAAACCGAUCCAAACCGGACCGCGAACACCCCUACUGAGUAUGUAAGCUUAAUAUUGUUUUUCUUUUACAAAAAGUAAAUUUAAGGGGGUGUUUCUAUCAAGUAUAAUAUUUACAUUUAUGGGAAUACAUAGGUACGGAAUGAGUAUAUCCAUAUUUUUUAUAAGAUUGAGAAAUCAUUAUUCUUAGGUAUCUAAGGUUCUUAGGAAUGAAAUAACUUUUCUUAACUUUAAACAAUCUUACGAAAUUAUUCCCAAGGUAAAGGAUGGAAAAGUAGGUUCCCAUCAAAUUUUGUACACUUUUUUUCUAAAAGAAUAUAACUUGCAAUUCCCCUAGGAGUGUUCAAGAGUGUGCCAAACAUUUUUUUUUUUUUUUAAAUACCCAUGAAUAGAACUCCCGUCAUGAUAUCUUUAACUGUGAUUCCCUUUCUUCAAGCGAUUAAUGGUGAGGAUGGAACUUUGUUUUUAGGUUUUUUUUGCUACUAGACUAGUUGGAAAUGCAUGUAAAAUAACAACGGCAGAAAAAUAAAAGUGAUAAAAUAGGGAAAAUAGUUUGUGAUUGAUUGAUUAUGUGUUAAAUACAUUGUAUAGAGUAUGUACUUAUAGGCAAAACUAUUUCUACUGGCCACAAGAUAUUACCUACAGUGUUUAACCUUGUUCGACUAUUUUCACGAGUAAGCAUCAGCUUUCCCACGCUCGACUGUCAGCUUCCCAAUUAAUGGCAUGACAUGUUGACAAGGUCCAUAAUGUUUAGUACCUCAUUGUCCAGAUCUGCUUGAGCUUUGACUCAAUAUGAUGUCUUCAAGACAAUCGACCUACCCUUGUUUGGCUAGAAUAACACUUGCAUAGAUUUCCAUCGCUUGUCUAUUGAUUUCAGCUAACAUGACAUAUAUAAUUACUUUUAGGUGUAAACAUAUGCUUCCUUGCGUUGCAUUUUCGAUUGGCUUCCAAGUGAUUGGGAUGAUGCAACAUAAUCGAACUGAUUGCGCGUGAACAAUGCGAUCUUUUAUGAAUGGAUAUGAACUAAUAACCCUGUCAAUCCAAUAACUCCAACGGUUACCGCAGUUUUCUCAAUUGGUAUGGUGAUAUCUUCGCCUAUUUGAAAGACGAUCUUUACGUAUAAAUAACUUUUUAUAGACCUGGAUUAUUCCCCAACUUUUCACCCUUUGUCGUUCUUUUUAUGUGGCUUCCUAUCCACUAAAUAAUUCAUGACUAUUACUUUUUCUACCCUGCUGCCUUCUCGCGCGCCCUGCAAAAUUUACUAAAAUACCCCUGGUCCGGAUUACAUAAUCCGGAGCAAAUUGUUAGUGAUAUCCGAAAAACGAAAUUCGGACCAGAUGUUAUGCGUUUUUUUGUGUCUUUCUUUGAUGUCAAGGGUUUCUGUUGACCGUUAUAUGAACCCCACACAAGUUGCAAUGUUAUUCCAGGGUUCAUACGAACAGUCAAUAAUGACCAUGACACCACUAACACCCCAAAAAAACUAAAAACAUUUGAAGAAAAUGGAAGAAAAGAGGUGAAAUGAAGAAUGAAGGUAUUUGUUGAAGAUGGAAGCAUGUUUAUAGCCUAAAACAAGUCCUAGGUCAUUAGUACAGUAAAUGAAAACGUGUUAGUGGUUGUAACCGUCCAAACCCACAUUAAUGGCUCUCUUUCAAAAGAAUCCAAUGCUGAAGCUUUCAAGAUUUUACAUUCCGGAAUAACCUUAGCCCUACAGAAAGUGCCAACUUUUCCCUUGUUCACCAUUAUCGCAUUAAUCCGGAAAAUAUAUUCCGGAAAACAAAGGUGCAUUUCAGAUUUUAUUUUCUGGAAUGCAACAAUGUCAUGGCCAGUGGUCUGCACCACACAUUUUUGUCGAUGGUCAGGUAAUAAAAAACGUGUUUUAUCACGUUUUUUGACUGCAUUUAUGGUCUCCCAACCGUUUUUGCCCCUCCCUAUAAAUAACCUUCCAAACCCCACAAUUUCUCACACCAUCCUCUCUCACCCUCUCCUCCUCUUCUUCCUUCUAAAACCAUCGUUUUUCAUCGUUGGCCUUUCAUAGAUAAGGGUCUCGUUGAAAACUUUCAAGGUUUGUAUGAACGGUCAAUGUGGAUGGAACAGUGCUGCAACGAAGUGCGGUUCAUCUGAGGGUCAUGUGGGUCAGUGUGGUUCUUAGCUUGGCCUAUCUGGGCGUAAGUUUCAGCACCCCCACCUCCCUCAGGGACAUUGUUUUCUUCUUCCUGCCUUCCUCUUCCCUCCUCCUCCUCCGGUUUUCCUCCAUUAGGGAACCUACUGCUAUGUCCUAUCGCAUAGUAGUGAUUAGGAUCUUAGGAGAUUAGAAUUAGGCUCUUAGGAUAUUAGAAAUAGAUUUAGGAUCUUAUAUAAUAAGCUUAAAAAGCUUGAAAAUUAUUGUAAUGUAUAGUUCAUAUAUUAAUAAAAUGAGUUAUUUUUAUGUUUGUGUCCUUUUAUUUCUGUUUUUUAUUUUAUUUUACGAAUUGUAAAGCUUAAAAUUGCAAAAGUUAUGGUAAAAUAUUAUUCCGGAUUUUCAAAUCCGAUUUAAAAAUACAUUCCGGAAAACGAAAUUCGGACCAAGGGUAAAAUUGAAAAAAAAAAAAAAAAAGGGUGUGCAAGGAAAGAUAUAGGGUGGAAUAGGUAAAACUCACAAUUCAUUUUGGUGCGUCCUUCAACCCUCAAACCCAAUAGUCAGAGAGCUUUGCCAAUGAUUAUUCUCUAGUUUUACACCCGAUAAUUUUCUUAAUCUUGUCAUUUUCAAGAUAAAAGACCACUAAUUCAGAAAACGAGAAUGAGAAGGGAAGUGGCAAACGAACUUUGACUCGUAAAGGCAAAUUAAAGCAUGACAAUGUCUAGAUAGGGGAAACUUAAAUUCCUAACAUUUCAUGGGAAGGUAAUAAUUGUCUCAAUCGAUUUCCAGAACUAACACUUCCUUCAUUUACUAAGUAAUUUCUUAUCCUUGUUUUUAAGAGUCUUUGUGCAAUUUUAUUUAAGGAUUUUUAGAAAAUUCUAAGGAGGUGCUGAUAGUUUAGUGAAGAGUCUAUGAUGUUUAGAGAAACCAUUUUAAGUCUUGUAUUUUCCUACCUAGACAACUCUAUAAAUGUCAUAAGUCUUUUUGUUAUAGACGCUAUGAGUUGAUUUUAUCACUAUGACUAGAAAAACUCAUUGGAUUAGUAUUGAAUGAUCAACUUCAAUGAUGUUGUUUGAACUAUAUGUAAUCGAUGAUGUCCUCUAUUAAUGCAAUCUGAAAUAUGCUUAUAAGGUAUACCUUGUGCUUAAUGAUUUUCAAUGCCUGAUAAACUCUGAAUUGAUUUUAAUUUAUAGUUCACAAUCAACACUUGUUUUUGUAACACGAACUAGGUAGUGUUCUUUAAUCAAUUUAUCUAGACAUAAGGUAUUAAUUAGUAUGGUCGGUAGUUUAACUGUCAAUGAAUCUUUUGAUAAAAUUAGUUUCACCUAAGAAAUUAGGGUUCUAUUUUAGAUAAAUGGGACGUCGAGGCAAGAAAUUGGUCGUGGUCUAUUUCUUUAAACUGUUGUGAACAUAGAAAUCAAAUUGUUAUUGUCUAGGAACUAGUAUUAUCAAAGAAAAUCUUUCUAUAAUUUAAUUUGCGAAACCAAAUCUUACGAAAACUCCCCCCAAUUUAACUUUUUAAUAAGUAUUGUUUAAUUGUCAAGUAUAAACAAUAAUAUUUGUGGAGAGGGAUCUUUAUAAACACUAUUACUUGAUCUGCCAAAGAGUCCAUCAAGCUUUUGGCGCCAUUGUUAGGGAAUCGUUGAUGAUCUCAACAAGGUAGCUACGCUCUACUUACAUGAUUUGUUUUUUUUUGUAAUUUAUUAUAAAAACAUAAAAAUAUUUACUUUUGGCUCUUUAAUCUUAGUGUGUGUUGUGCUAAAUAAAUAUUCUUGAGUGUUGUUAUGCGAGGUGGAAGCUCAGGUACCUUGUUAUUUGAUUCUGAGGUUGAGAAGAUUACAAGAGAAAACCAGAAAGAUUCUUUUUCUAUCUCAGUACCCCUCAAAUAAUCUAAAAAUACUAUCAGAGGGAGAACAUAGGCAUGGUUAGAGAUGGUUUAGCAAAGGAAACUCAAGUUUGAGUUUUCCCCCCAAAAUCCUAAAAUACUCUUUUUUUCCUUAUUCUUUUUUUUCUUCCAGAAUUAAUGAACGAUGGUGUGCAAGUCCUAUAUUUCACCACUUAUAUGUCACGCAGGUUCUAUUGUAACUUCUUUCAUUUAUUACUUUCGUUGUUCUUUUGCUUGAUCUAUUCUUUUUUCCAUGUCUAUUCUCUGUUCCGAUUUGUUUUGAUUUUGUGAUCGAUAUUAUCUCUACUGUUACUUCUUUCGGUUAUUGUAUCCCUUGGUGUUUGAUUAUGUUUCACAUUGAUAAACUUAAUAGUGUUUUUACUUUUUACUUGUUGAAGAGCUUACAUUUGUGUCUAUAGAGUUCUAUUGGAAGUAAAUUGUUUAUUUUUAUGUUUUCUUAUAUUUUUGUUUGUUUUUGUAUUCAACUUGGCUAUUGUAAUCACACCUCUGUUUCCGGUAGCUGAAUUAUUAUUGUCUAAAUUUGAUCAAAGGCAACCUAGCAAUUGAAUAAUCGAGCCUUGUCGGAAAGUGUCAUUGUCACCACUCAAUGGAUGAGAAACCAACAAAAAAGCCGGAUUAUUAGAAGAAUGAAUGUGAAAGAAUUGUUACCAAUCAUGGAAGUCAUGGGAGGUACAUAAAGUUCAACAAGAUCACAAAAGAAUAGCGUGAGAAGGAGAAAAAAGUUGUGCGAGAAAUCAGAGAGAAUUGAGGAAAAACUCAGUUGAUACCAUAUUUGAACCAUAUGAGACAAUUGAUUCCUGAAAUAAAAACAUUAAGGCUGCAUUUGAUACAAGAGGACUAGAAUGUUACAAGGUACAAACAGACACAAUAAUUCUUAUUGAUGUAAAGUAAAACAUUAACAAUAAAACAAACAUACAUAAUAACAUGAUCGUAAGUAGGAAGUGAGGGAAUGGAAUUCCUUCACAUCUGUUAUUCAAAGCAGCAACACAACAACCAUGAUCCACUUUAGAUGGAGAUACUAUUAGGAAUGCCUCGGCAAGUCAAUCCUUCCUCACUAGAAGGAUAAAGUAGAGUAUAUGGCAUCUUCACUGGUCCGUACCGAUUUCUCAAUGUCUCAUCAUUGUUCCUUUGAGUGAGUUUCUGUUCAAUUUCAGCCAACUUCUUUCCAAACCUCUUGAAGGCUUCUUUUGGUUGUGAAUCUGAAGUCCAAUUGUCACCUUCAAUUCUAUCUCCAAGGUAUUGCUCAUCAGAAGCAUGCCUUGACAAGACCUCUAUAAUGGUCAAGUCAGUAAGUGUAUCAUUCUUUGGUGUGAUUGUCCUCAAAUAAGACUUCUGGUAGUCCUUAGCAAGCUCAUCAUACUCAGGUGAUCCUUUCUCAGGCAUGAAUCUUCUACUCUUUGUUGGCCGGUUAAGGAUAUAUCCUCCAUAUGGAUAUUGUCCGAAAUUAACAGCUGCAUGAAGUGCUGAAGCAAUCCAUAUAAGGAUGGUGGAAGCUUCGAUCAACUCUUCACGGGUUUGCAUCUUAAACCACCAUGUGGCAUUCUUCAGGUCACCAUGACCAACCUCUACAAGUUCCUUCCAGAAUGCUUGGAGUUCAGCAUCUUGUGCAAUGGCAGCAUCAGACUUGUAAUAGAAAUUCACAUAUUCACCAACCCAUGACUUAAUGGCAGCCCAUAUUUCUAGUCCAUCAGAAGCAUAAGGAUAAUCCUCUAUCAGAAGGCGGAGACCGGUAGGAGAGGCUGGAUCCUCAACAGCUACUCCUCUAAAUAACAAGCAAGGAAGAAAUAUUAACAUACAAAAAAUAUGUUCUAUGGAGUUAUUAUUAAUUAAAGUGAUUUUAAUGAUCAUUUUACAACUGUUUUAGAGGAGAUUUAAGCCCGUAUAACAGAAAUUAUUAGUUAGAGUUUGUUGAUAAAAAAUUGACAGACCAAAGAUGUAAGGUUACCUUUUGAUUAGAUCGUUAGGUAGUCCUUGCUCAAUGAAAUUCCAAUCCUUGUAAACAACAGCAGACAUUUCCAAAGCAUAAUUUCCCCACAAGAAGGUUGAUUCUAUAAUACCCUCUGCAUUGACCAAGACAUUUCGUGCAAGUGCAUUUAUGUUCAUUGUGUCACGGUAGUGAGGAAGUAAAAGUUUAUGAAUAGGGUGAACCACACUAAGAUGCCUGUUUGUUGCUAUGAUGAAUGGCUCAACAACAGCGUGGGUGUUCAACCUGUCACACAUGUCGAUAUUCAUGAAUUAAUCAUAGAUAGGUUAAUUAUGUUUGAUUGUGUAUACGUGAUUAAUGAGAUUCAUACCAAUGGCUGACAAGUUGAUGAUAGCAGGAGUCAUUUACAACAACAAAAGCCUUGGCAAGGAGCCAAAUUGAAGCUUCAACACCUUCACUUGCGGGCAAGUAAACAUUGCUAACAGGACCAAAACUAUCACCUUGAGGGUGUGGCCUGCUUAGUUCAAUGGCCAGUGGCUUCAAAGUUCCAUCAUCUUGCAAGAAAAGUAUGGUUCUGGUAGCAUAGGCCUUUGUCUCGGUUGCAUUUAUUUUCCUCAAAUAUGGAAAGAGUGGGUCGUGGUGAUCAAGUAUGUACAAUCUAUUGUCUUGGAUAGCCUGUAUGACAAAAUAAAAUUUAGCUACUGUGGUUUACUUGAAUAAAAAAAAUUCAAUCAUGGAGAAAAAUAUUAAUCAAACUAAGUCCAUGAGGUGUCAACCCAGUGGUUAAAGUCGACCUUAUAACCUCAAGGGAUAGAUUUCAAAUUUUCUCCCGGACGAAAUUCACGAACGCCACUUUGGAAAAAAAUAGAACUGAUCAAAUAUGUCAUUACCUGUUCUACGGUGACCCCACCCAUGUUUGGCUCCAAGUUUUCUUUGGUUAUGGUGCUGGUAUUAUCACCAAAUUUUUGGCUAUCUAGCUUGCUCUUUGGUGGAAACUCCUGUAUUAAAUUUAGCAAGCAAUAAUGUCACCAAUUACAAAAAUAACAUAAUGUUUACAAAAUAGUCUUAGUUUUAUUUUUUUAAUUUCUUAACAAAGUUAAACUAUUAGCUUUACCGAAAGUUUUUUGAUGAUGUGUGGGUUCACCCCAGCAAUCAUCUCCCUUGCAAAUUCCUCAUCAGUCUGCCAUGCAGAAUGGUCCACUGUUCAUAUUAAGAAAUUUUCAAAAGAUCCAUUAGAUUUCUUUAUAUGAUUUUGUAUAAAUAUAUUACUGCAAGGACUAGGUAUUAUGAUUAAUAUAUACCUUGAAUCACUUUUGGUGGUGGAAACUUAAGUGCUUGUUCACCAUCAGAUCGGAAAAGUUCCUUGAACAAUGGUAUUGGACUAAUCUGGCUUAGUACAUCAGUAGGAAGCUUAAUUCCACCCUCGUAGAGAGAGCGCACAUCUUGAAAGGUGUUAAACUCAGGGUUAUUGAGUUGUAAUGUAACUACAGAUCUCAGUUGAGGUAUGACAUUUUGAGAUGCUGAUUUGAGUAUGUAAACAAGAAAGUCUGAUGACUUUGUGUGUCCAAAAGAUUCAUCUCUUGGAAGGUAAACAGUGGGACUUCGAGUCUCACUCUUAGGAUCUGUUCAAAUAUAUAAUAACAAUAUAUGUUUUAGAAACAAUACCAAAAUCUUUAGAAUCAUAAGCAGGGUAAACAUUUGGAUCAACCAAAAAAACACAUGUUUAGUCCAAAAUCUGACAGAAGUGUUUGUGGCCUAACCUGUUUUAGUUUUUCUUCUGCCAGUUCUUCCCCUUCGAGGGUAAGGGAAAUCGCUUGAUCCCCCAAGAAUUUGACGCGCCAAUUGAGGUUUCGAGUCAGGCUCACCCAAAUCAUUGUAGACAUCGUAAUCAUAUAUUCUUUCCCAUUCCUUGCGCUCUCCAGUUCCAUCUCCUCUUAAAGUCUUCAAUUCUUCUUGUCUGUAGUACACUAAUGGAGCCGGUGUUUCACUUGGAAGGUAUGUCUACAUAAAUUUAAUCAUUCAAAAUAUCAAGUUUUAGGAAAUAGGCUUAAUAUUCAGCAAGCUAUAUAGUUAUUAUGAUAAAGUGGAUUUGUGAUUUGAGACAUCAGAAAGAGAUUGGGAGUUGCAAGUUCUCAACUCCCUCUACUCGCAUUUCUAAAAACUAAUUACUAAUAUUUGUCGUUAUAAUAGAAAUAACAAGCUACAUGUGUAAUAGAAUUUUUAUUCUUACCUUGUUGGCAAAGAAGAUGCGGUCGGUUUUGUACUUUUUAGAAUUGUAAAUCCAUGAGUUGCAGACAAAGUGGAUGGAUCCAUGGUUUGGAACAUCUUCAAGUGUCAAACUCACAAGGAAGAAUUCACCUUGCAUAAAAUUAUCGAUGUAAAAAGCUCCGGGAAUUCCCAUGUUACUGUCCCAUUCAAAAUGAAUACUGAAAGCAUUUUGUUUGUCUCCCAAUGUUGGUAUGGAGGUAAGAAGACCUUCCAGAAAUGUUUCCUUUCCCACUUUUCCUUUUCCAGCAGCUAUAUUAAAAAUGUCAAAUAUUAUUAGUUUCUCAAUUUCACUAAUCCAUGAUUUUCAAAGUUUAAUUUUAUUCUUUUACAGAUCCAUUUUUCUUUUUACAUGAUCAUCAUCCAUCUUGCCUGAGUUAUAUCGAAGGGAAAUAAUUUCAAUAUUUUAGUGGUAAUUGAUUGUACCUGAUCAUUUAUAACCAAUAUUCUACAUCAAAAUCUCCAUUGCACAUUUUUAAUUUAAUAAAAAAAACAAAAGGGAAAAUAAGGUAAAUCUUAAUGGAUUGAUGUAUCAAAAACUCUUCUUGAAUAAUAGGCUGGCUUGGUGGUGUGGUGGAAGAGUUAUGGAGUAAUUAAUGCAGUCUGAGUUCAAUUCUUACAUCUAGCAAAAACUAACAACCGACAUAAUACUCAUUCGAUAUUAUUUAUAAGAAAUAAUGAAUUUUUUGAUUUAUUGAAUAAUUAAUGUAUAUGAUAUAUAUUCUAGAUCGAAUACAUAAAUUAUUCAAUGAAUCUAAAAAAUUAAUUAUUUCUUAUAAAUAGGAUUGGAUGAAGUAAUAUUUAUUGCUUAAAAAAAUAAAACUCCUCAAUAUUUUGUUGUUAAAUCAGAGAUAUCCUCCACGUGCAAAUGUCUGUCACUUAUGUUAUGUCACACAAUGUUGGUAAAAGAGUCUAAGUAAAGAGAUCAUAGAAGUAUGAAAAGAAGCAAUUUUAAAUAGAAAAAGAUAGUAGAAUUUACAAUUUUAAAAAUCUAAUAAGACAGAAGUUCAAAUAUAAAGUAUAUAGAUGGGGAUGUCAAAUUUUAAAUAGCUUAUGGUACAAGAUUAAUUUAAAAAAUUUAAGUGAGCAUGUGCACCCAUCACGUAGAUCCAUACAUACCAAAUGACAAAGAUAAAGUCCAAAACAGUUGCCAAACGCCAAAUAUCACACUUAUUUGCAUUAUAUAUACUUCUUUUUUUACAAAACCAUUAGAUAUACUCCCUUUAAUAUACAUUGGAUAUAAGUUUUUAUAUAGUCAUUUUUUAUUCCAAUAGUACUAUUUUUUCCAUAUCAUUUUAUUACUUAAUCAAAUGUCCAAAUUAUUUUAAAUAGUUACUUAAAUAAUUUCAUAAUUUCUUUAUUUUAAUUAAGAAGAGACAACGAUGAAAUUUUUGUCUGUCAAGUAAGGAUAUAGUUUUGCAGUUAAUAAAAGAAUAUAAACACAAUUUUUUUCUUUUCAUAAAUUUCAUCAAAGAAGGUAAUCAAUCUUAUUCAGAAUCCGUCGAUCAGACACUAAAUGUGAUACCUCUCUCAAUCAAGAUUCUAAAAUCAUUCUCGUCCGUUAGAUCCAAUUACUUCCAUUGGUGUACACAUAAUUUAAAUAAGUUAUAUCAAUCAAUUAAUUAAAAUGCCUAUUUCUUGUAUGAAUUAAACAUAGUGAGAAAGGUCCUCGUGAACUAGCUCAAUUGAUAGAGACAUAUAAUAUAAUAUAUGCAGGGGUUGAAGUCCGAACCCUAAACAUCCGACUUCUCCAUAUUUAAAAUGUGUGAGCUCCCGUCACUGGGUUAAUUGACAAAAAGAAAAAUAGAGUGAGAAAGAGAAAUGAGUUAUUACCAUCAGCACUUGUAGCACUAAUCAACCUGAGAGCUAUAGAACGUCCCAAGAAGGAAGUGGCAGUAUCAAGUAUAUUGCCAGCAACAUCACCAACAAUACCAAAGGCACCACCAAUGAUACCAGUAGGGCUUUUAGCAGCAGUGAGGGCGUUGAUAUCCAAAGUAUUCUUUUGCAUCAACACCACAGUUCCCUUCAACUUUUGGCCUCUAUCAAAGAGACCUGUUACACCAGAAAACAUCUUUGAAUAUGCUUUAAAUGUAUUACACUAUAUAUGGUAAAUGAAAGAAAGGCUUGUGUCUUGUAACCAUAGGGGUGGUUAGUAUUUAUAGUAGUUGAUGAGAUUAGGAUCACAAUGUUAUAGUUCAAAUGAGGUGAUAUUUUUAUUCAACUACUCAUUUACAACAUGGUGGAAUGCAAUUGGUCACGUCUUAUGCUAAUUUUUUAUUAUGAGUGAUUAUCUCGUGGUAUAUAAAAUAAUAAUAUAUCCGAUUGCAAAAUUAUUUUGGUAGUUGUUAUAUGUGCCAGCCUUGGCAUUAUGUUCAAUAAUAAUGACUCUGUUUGCUCUAUUGUUAAUUAUUACUACUAUCUUACGUGUCUGCAUUGGUUUUCUCGAGUUUUCUCAUAUUUUUUAAAGUGGGAAAAUCUCUACCCUUAAAAUUCAUUUCUUUCUUAUUUUAAUUUCAAAAUCUCUCCUCUUUUUUUUUUUUUUUUUUUUUUCUUUUUCUUUUUCUUUCUCUCAUACUAUCAAAUCAAGAUUAGGAUUGGACUUGAGAUACAUUUGCUUAGUCACAAACAUAAAAAUGAGUCAUUUAACACACACAAUGUAAUAAAAAAAAUUGAUUUGGUGUUGUGGUCUAAUUUAACACUUACUAUAUAAGUAUUUCUCCAUCCAAAGAUGGAUCCAAAAAUCUAUUAGCAAUUUUAGUUCACGGCCUAAUUUAUUCUCUUGUUUGGGAGUCUUUUGUAACAAUUUUUGUUUUUUUAUUUUGGGUUGACGGCAAGACCUUUGUCUUUUGAUGUAACUAUACUCUUUUUCCUUGUUCUUUUGGCACUUUCUGUGCUGGAAUAGCAGAUAUUUUUCAAAUAUAAGCAAUCAACGUUUGUUCUAGGGCGCUCUAUAUAUGGAUAAUGUUAUCAGCCACGUUUUUGACAUUUGCAUCAAUUUUUUUCUUUAUAAAUGAUGAAUAAGACAUGUAUUACUAAUGAUGGUUGAUAUUCCAGCUAUCAUGGAAUCCAAGUCGCCAUAGUACAAUGUUUUUAAAAUCCCAGCUAUGUUGGCAACCCAAAACAUCGUGUGUCAAAUGCGCCACAUCUUAUAUAUUAUUAAUAAUAAAAAAUACAAAAACGAAAAAAGUUGAGUUAAACUCAACAAAGCUAAUUAAAAUGAUAGGUAUGCAUACCAAACCUAUCUAAAAAAACCACUGAUAAUAAAACUAGGACAUAUAUACCACCAUUGAAAAUCUCCAAUUAGUUUACAAAUAUCAACGAAAAAACUUCUCCUUUUCCUCUUGUGACAUAGAUGAUCUCCAGUAGGUUUCUGCGUUUUUCCUCUUCAGUUUCGUGUUUUGCUGCUUGCGUUGGGGGUGUGAAAAUUAAACACUGAUGACUUGUGAAAAAAAGAAGCAUAAAGGGCUGCUGGACUAAAGUCUGAUAAUUGUUGGUCCCUCUAUUAUUUUUGUUAUAUACACCCCUCUAUAAACGAUUAUUGUUAUAUACACCCUCGUAUAAAAAAAUUAGGUCCCUAAAGGCAUGGGCCCUAGGCUGCCGCACCCCAUCCUAUAUCUAUGGCUGGCCCUGAAUGUUAUCGUUGUAAUAGAAGUGGUUUAAUAUAUAAAAUGAAAGACAUAAGGUAAAUAGGGUAAUGUUGCAUUAAAAAUGGAUGUUGGUAAGGCAUGUGGCAUUGAUAGGUCAUUUGAAAGAAAUUUUGAUGAAGAUGAGGUUAUGUCAGUAGUGAAUGAACUAGAUAAUGAUGUGUAUUAAAAUGGUGGAUUAUUCCAUUAUUGUUAACAAUGAAAUCACAUGACCAAUCAUACUCGGACGAGGCCUUCAUCGGAGAGAUUCUUUGUCUCAUUGUUUAUUCUGUGUGCAGAAGGCCUAUGUGCUCUUAUUAAGUAUGUCGAGGCUAGUGGAGAGCUUCAUGGGGUCAAAAUUUGUCGAAACACUUUGAUUAUUACUCGAAUUUUAUUUGCAGAUGACUACUUUCUAUUUUUCAGGGAAGGUGAAGCGCCGAGACUCAAAAUAUGAAGCAAAUUUUGAGGUUGUACAGAGCAACGUCUGGAUAUUACAGCUUAAAUGCCCAACAAUCCCUUCAAAAUGCUUUUACAACAACCUUAGGGGGGUCAGGCGGUGUUAUGCACAAUGAAGUACAUCGGACUACCCUCUAUGAUUGGUAGAAGAAGGAAUGUUACGUUCAGCUUUCUCAAAGAUAUGACUGGAGCAACAAGUAUUUGUGAAAGGAAGAUAUAAUGAUAAAAACAUGUACUGCAAGCAAUACCAUCUUAUGGAAUUAGAAUUUUCUUACUUUCUACCAUGUUCUUUGAUGCCAACGAAAAGAUUAUUAACACGUACGUACUGGUGGGGUCAUGGUGGUUCCACAAUUAGAGGUAUUGACUGGUUAUCAAGGGACAUGCUUGUUGUCUACAAAUUUUUUGGAGGUUUGGGGUUUAAAUACUUGACGUCAUUCAACUAAGCAAUGUUAGGAAAACAAGAUCGGAAAUUCCACACACACUUGGACUGUUUGGUAUCAAGACUGUUCAAGGCGCUCUAUUUUCCUCAUGGAAGCUAUCUAGACCGAAAGUGAUGACAGAGCACUAUAUGACAUUUUGGGCUAUGUUUUUAGUACUUUUAUUUGCAUUUGAAGACAUAUAAGUUGAGAGAUAGAGGAGUUGUUAAUGGUUUGGGAAACAUAUUGUAUUGUUUUCAAUCGAGCCGUUGUUCUUGAUGCUUGACAGUUUAAGGAACCUCUAGGGUAUGUUUUUUAAACAUCGUUGUUCCUUGAUUGAGGAACCUCUAGAUAUUUCAUGAAGUGUAAUUCCUUUAGAUGACAAUUUAAGAGUCACACGGGAUGUUGCAGUCAAAAGAUGUGAUCAUGGCUUUCAUAAUUGAGUUAUGGAUAAAACGACAUCUGUAGGAAUAUUCUCUCUAUAGUAAACCACCGUUUAUGUAAUUUUUAGGUUUUAAUUAAUAGGUACUUUGCAUUAAUCCAACAAAGAGGGAAGAGGGAAGAGGGGAUUCAAGGAUUCCCUAAUCACCGUUAUACAUCUAAAUCACACAAACAUAAUCUUUCUUUGGAUAGGGAAAUUUAACCAUGCAAAUCUUUUUUUCAUCUCUUUUCUAUUUUCUUUCUAAUAAGUUUUGCUAAUUACCGAAAAACUUGCUACUUUAUUAAUUGUUAUGAUUUGGUGCACUUGCCAAUUUCGUCCUUCAGAAAGCUUGGACAUAAAUCAAAGCUUUAGUUGGAGAAGAAUAUUUACCGCUAAGAGAGUAGUACAAAAAGUUGCUCGGUGGAAGAUCAGAUCGGGUACAAAGUUUCAAUUUUUUAUGCUUUGUGGGUAAAAGAUGGGACAAGUAUUCUAGGAGAUGGUCAACCUCUCAAGGUAAUUCAACAGGCUAAAGUGCACAAUCUCGUUGAUCAAGAAUUUCCCGUAUAGAACAAUCAUAUUGUAAACCAGUGUUUUGAUCAACUUAUAAAUGAGCUCAUUCUGAGUACUCCUUUAAUUGAGUCUGUUAAAGAAAGAUAAAUUAAUUUUUAAAUCAAAGAAAAAUGAACAUUACUCGGUAAAAAUUGUGUACAAGAUUUAUACAUAAAAUAGUGCAGGCAACUCAUAUUUAUGUCAGUAAGGUCAUUGGCUGGAAUUUAGAAGUUAAAGGUGCAUCCCAAAGUGAAGGAUUUCAUUUGGCUGAUUUAUCAAGGUUGCUUACCGACGCGUGUAAGGCUGAAAGAUCGAAGUCUCCAUUGUCUGUCUAUUUGUAUGAUGUGCACCGGUAACUAUGGGGAUGCAAUGCAUAUAUUGUUUGAUUCUCCGUAAAUAGGAUAUGUAUAUAUUUUUCUCAAGUGCAUUAAUUUUAUCAUUCAUAGCUCCAGCCCAGUUUAUAUUUUUAAAUGUUUCUUCAAUAGAUGAUUUGAUUCUCACAUAAUCAACGGCAACAAUAAAACUUUGAUUGUGUGGAAAGUUGUUUAGUGGAGACAUAUUGAGAAAUAUGUAUGAUAUCUAUAUAUAGAGGGACAGAUCGAUAACAUUUGCAAUCAUCUACAACAGGCCAUGUUACCCAAGAACAAUCAUCAAUAAAAGAAACAAACCACCUUGCCCCAUAAAUAUUAGAAACAACAAGAAAUAUUAGAAACAGGGGCCGAUCGGCAGACAUCAAAAUGAAUAAGAUCAAAUGGUUCAACACUUUUACGAAGAUUCAACGAAAAAAGUGGUAUGUGUACGCUUAUAAAAUGGAUAUAUAUAUCACAUUUAAAAGACUAAAUCGAUUGCAUUAAAAAACAAAGAUGGAAACAUAAACUUCAUUAGUUGAAAAUGAGGAUGACAAAGACGUUUGUGCUGAAGCCAAAUUUGAGAGGCAGAAUAAGACUCUGACUAAGACUGAAGUGCAGAAGACAACACCUUCUGAUCAAUUCGUGCAUCAUACAAAUAAUAUAGCCCUCCUUGUUCCUAAGCAACUCCAAUCGUCUUUCCCAUUACAAGAUCCUCGAAAGCACAAUGUGAAUCAAAAAAUAUUACUGCACAAAUAUUAUCCUUUAUAAGCUUACGAACAUAGAUAAGGUUAUUCCAAAGACAAGGAACAUGAAGCAUAUCUUUCAACUUAAAAGGUUCAAGGUUAAUUUCUCCACAACCAUCUACACGAGUAUGAGAACCAUAUGCAGCCGCAAAAAAGAAUGUCAUAUGAAGAAAUUUACUUCAAAAAGGCCAAGAACCAAUGUCAUAUGAUCAAUAGCACUAUAGUCAAUAAUAUAAUCAACAUUUCAAGCAAAAACCACAUAUAACUAUUUUCAGUCACAUUGGCUGAUAACUACAAAAGAAUCUCCUCAAAAGAACAACAAAAAGAAGAGGCUUCAAAUAACAAAAAAUAGGCAACAAGGUAAAAACCGUAAGUCGCAACAACGUAAAAUCACCAAAUAAAAGUCAAACUGAAUCACAAAGGGUCCUCAAAGAUGCUGGUAGUCACAAACAAGCACAAAACAACCGCUAUCAAUCAGUUAGUGUCAAGAGUACCCACGUAAAAUAGUAUCUUGGUCUUGGAUCAAGAUUUUGACCCCUUAAACGAACCAAUUAUGUGAAGACUAUAAUUUCUAGGAAUAAAUGGUGUCGAAUGGUGGUUCACAAGGUGGCAUGUGCAUCGCACUUGAUGGAGCUUCACUUUAGAUUGGGCCUCUGCUCUCAACUUCUCAAGUUCUUCUUCAAAAAGUAUUUGAGAACAAAUUUUUAUAGCCCUUUCGUUUAAAAAAUCUUUUUAGUUUUGCCAUAUUAGUUGAUGUAUGAUUCUUUAACUGUAUUUACAUUGGAAAAACAAUUGGCAGUGGAAAUAAAAUCAUUAUGAUCUAUUAUUGCUUUUUCAAUGUUAUCAUUUUUUUGUCAUGCUAUAUUGCAUAUUUGCAUUGAGAGCUUUUUUGUCAUGAAAUAAAAUAUGAAGUUUGCAUUUUAUAUACAAAGUAAAUCACACAACAAAAUAGAAACAUAGUAACUUUUAUUGAUGAAAUACAUUAUAACAAUCAAACAUGAUAGUUUUUAUUGAUAAAACACAUUACAGAAUUAAAAACAAACGUACAUAAUAACAUAACAUGACGAUAUACAUAGGGGGCGAGGGAAUUGGAUUCCUCCUCCUCUUUUAUUAAUAGCGACAACGCAACAACCACGACGUUUUUUAGAUAGAGACACUGUUGGGAAUGCCUCUGCAAGUCAAUCCUUCCUCACUAGAAGGAUAAAGCAGAGUGUAAGGCAUCUUCACUGGUCCGUUACGAUUCCUCAGUGUCUCAUCAUUGUUCCUUUGAAUGAGUUUUUGCUCAAUUUCAGCCAACUUCUUUCCAAACCUCUUAAAGGACUCUUUUGGCUGUGAAUCAGAAGUCCAGAGAUCACCUUCAAUUCUCUCUCCAAGGUAUUGCUCAUCAGAAGCAUGCCUUGACAAGACUUCUAUAAUGGUCAAGUCAGUAAGAGUAUCAUUCUUGGGUGUUAUUGUCCUCAGAUAAGACUUCUGGUAGUCCUUAGCAAGCUCAUCAUACUCAGGGGAUCCCUGCUCAGGCAUGAAUCUUCUACUUUUAGUUGGUCGGUUAACGAUAUAUCCUCCAUACGGAUAUUGUCCAAAAUUAACUGCUGCAUGAAGUGCUGAAGC